This 62490-nucleotide long non-coding RNA is filed under the name Triticum aestivum (bread wheat). RNAcentral describes it as "long non-coding RNA (TAES_LNC007384)". The record is from RNAcentral. Lineage: Eukaryota; Viridiplantae; Streptophyta; Magnoliopsida; Poales; Poaceae.
UUUUUUUUGGUUAUGUUUCCUUUCCUACUUUUGUUUUUAUUCUAUUUCUUUUCUGUUUUUCUUUUAUUUUAGUUUUAUAAAAUUACCACUAGUGCCUAAUUUGUAUUAACCAAUAAACUACUACGAGAUUAAUUCUUAACGCAUAAUAAAAUAGUGUUAGCAUUUUAUAAAUUCAAUAGGCCUUUGUUUAAUUGUCUUCACUAUUGUUUUAAUUGUUUUAGGGCCUUUAAACAUUUUAUCAAAGUUUGGUUGCUCCACCAUAAUUAUCUAUGCAAUAUUUGGUUCACUCCGAACAUUUUAGUUUUAAUAUUUGAAAACUUUUAUUGUUUGCCUAUUUUUGAAUUUGAAUUUGAAUCGGUUUCGAACUAACUCGAGAUCAGCAACUAUAAACGAGGUGACGUGGCACCAUUAGCAGAGGAUCACUGUAGCUUAAUUACCCGGGCGUCACAUAUGGUGGCUGCCAGCAUGGGAGCAUAUCCACUCUUGAGCCAGCCAGGUGAUCGCCACCCACCGAGCGCCAGUAGUUAGGGGCAAAUGAGAAGCCAAAGAUGAGGUGAUCGAUAGUCUUCUCAACAAAAUGGCAGGCAGGGCAACCACUAGCUCCAGAGUUGAUGAUUCCUUUCUUCAGAAGGCCAUCUGGCAUGUGGAUUCCUUUCUUCACUAGUGCCUAGCCGAAAAAAUGCACCUUGGAUGGAGCUAGGCACUCCUAGAUGAAUGAGGCAAAAGGACAGACGAUGCCACUAUAACAUUGAAGGUUGUAGACUGUAGAGUUGCGAAGAGCAUAAACCUUGGGACUUCCUUGUGCGUCGCACAAGCACCCAAUAGUCUGAUGACGAGGAUGGCACAUGGGCGCACAUGGCUUGAAGCAGCUAGGCAUAUGGACCUCGAUGAGCCUAGAGAGGUGUGGUAUGAGAGCACUAUUCAUCCCCCUAUGGAAGACUUGCGACACCAAGAGAUCUUGCCCUUAUGCAUAGGAGAACAGAACUGGAAGUGCCACGCACAAGGGCCCGAUGGAUAGCCAGUUGUCCCUCCAAAAGGAGGUAUGACAACCAUCCUUGAGAACCACCAAGGAAAUUGCUCUGCAUAGUGAAAGAAGAGCGCAGUGAGUCCUACAGUGUAGUCCAAGAUUGAUGGUCAUGACAACAGACACUGCUCGGCCCCCGACCUCCAAGUAGACCCACCGAGCCCACAGCAAGGCGUCUGGGAAGUGGAGGCCGUGUAGCAGGUUGACAAGCAGACACUCAUUUUGCAUGGCGAGGUCGUGAACACCCAACCCCUCGUCUUGCUCAGGGUGGCCUAAUCCCAGGUGACAAGGCGCUAAGCGCCCAAGGCGUGGUCUCUAACCGUCCAGAGGAAUCCGCGUUGAAGGGAGUCAAUCACCCGGAGCACCGAGGAUGGGAGCUCUAGCGCAGUCGUGGCAUAUAUGGGGACCACCCCCAGGACUGCAUUGAGAAACACGAGGCAUCCGUCUAGGGAUAGUAGGAUCAUCUACCAGUCAGACAGAUACUUGUCCACCUAAUUAAGCAAUCAGAGGCUCGAGGCAUCGAGGUGCAGCUUGUUCCAGGACAGAGGGGGCCAGGUAGGUUUGGGGGAAGCCCUGCAUGUUGCAUCCCAGGAUGACCGUGAUCUUAGAGAGAACCCCAACGUCCACAUGCAUCAGAACAAAGUUACUCUUAUGGACGUUGAUGACGAGCUUGUUCACAACAACAAUUGGUCCUGGAUGAGCUUCGGGCAAGUGGUGGAUGGGACAUCAGCAUGCAUAAGGAUCAACAUGUCGUUGGUGAACUGCAGGACCGACAACCGACCCCAGCCGACAAGAGGGUGGGAAAGCACAUUGCCCUUCUCGUUCAUUUCUUGGAGAAUGUCAACCACCAGAAGCAAGAAGUAGGGAAAGGGGAUCUAUGUGGCACAAACCUCUUUUGCACCCAAUCCAACUACCUGGAACCCCAUUCAAAAGAACUGAGGACCUCCAGUUGGAAGACAGCCUCCAUGCAAGCGCACCACUAAGUUGGGAAGCCUCUGACCUCCAUGUUCACGCACAAAAAAAAUUCUAGUUAGUGGAGUCAAAAGUUUUAGAAGUAGAGUUUGAGGACGAGGAUGGGAGCCCCGCAUCGUUGGCAGCACUGCACAACCUCAAUGGUGUAGACAAAGUUUUUGGCGGUGCUACGUCGACCAAUGAAGCUGGAUUAGUCCUAAUCGACCAGGGGGAGAUUUUCUCUAGAGCCAUGAGGUGAGGCACUUGCAUAGCCCUUUCGUGCUGUAGUUUUGGAGGGAGGUAAGAUGGUAGCCCUCGGGAUCAGGGUGCCAGCUGCCUUGGGUGGCAGGUGUUAGGGAACAUUGCAGAAAAUAAAAAAAAUCCUACAUUUCAUCAAGAUCAAUCUAUGAGUUCAUCUAGCAAUGAGAGAGAGAGGACUGCAUCUACAUACCCUUGUAGAUCGCGAGCGGAAGCGUUCAAGAGAACGGGGUUGAGGGAGUCAUACUCGUCGUGAUCCAAAUCACCGGAGAUCCUAGCGCCGAACGGACGACACCUCCGUGUUCAACACACGUACGGUUGAGGAAGACGUCUCCUCCUUCUUGAUCCAGCAAGGGGGAAGGAGAGGUUGAUGAAGAUCCAGCAGCACGACGACGUGGUGGUGGAUGCAGCAGUGUUCUCGGUAGGGCUUCGCCAAGCUUCUGCGAGAGGGAGAGGUGUAGCAAGGGGAGAGGGAGGCGCCAAGAGCAUGGGUGUGGCUGCCCUCCCUCCCCCCUAUUUAUAUAGGCCCCCUAGGAGGGGCGCCGGCCCUAGGAGAUGAUAUCUCCAAGGGGGGGCGGCCAGGGGGUGGCUUGCCCCCCAAGGCAAGUGGAGGCGCCCCCCACCCCUAGGGUUUCCAACCCUAGGCGCAGGGAGGGCCCAAGGGGGGCGCACCAGCCCACCAGGGGCUGGUUCCCCUCCCACUUCAGCCCAUGGGGCCCUCCGGGAUAGGUGGCCCCAACCGGUGGACCCCCGAGACCCUUCCGGUGGUCCCGGUACAAUAUCGGUAACCCCCGAAACUUUACCGAUGGCCGAAACUUCACUUCCUAUAUAUAAUUCUUUACCUACGGACCAUUCCGGAACUCCUCGUGAUGUCCGGGAUCUCAUCCGGGACUUCGAACAACUUUCGGUUUACUGCAUACUCAUAUCUCUACAACCCUAGCGUCACCGAACCUUAAGUGUGUAGACCCUACGGGUUCGGGAGACAUGCAGACAUGAUCGAGAUGCCUCUCCGGUCAAUAACCAAUAGCGGGAUCUGGAUACCCAUUUUGGAUCCCACAUGCUCCUCGAUGAUCUCAUCGGAUGAACCAUGAUGUCGAGGACUCAAGCAAUCCCGUAUACAAUUCCCUUUGUCAAUCGGUACGUUACAUGCCCGAGAUUCGAUCAUCGGUAUCCCAAUACCUCGUUUAAUCUCGUUACUGACAAGUCACUUUACUCAUACCGUAAUGCAUGAUCCCGUGACCAGACACUUGGUCACAUUGAGCUCAUUAUGAUGAUGCAUUACCGAGUGGGCCCAGAGAUACCUCUCCGUCAUACGGAGUGACAAAUCCCAGUCUCGAUUCGUGCCAACCCAACAGACACUUUCGAAGAUAGCCGUAGUGCACCUUUAUAGUCACCCAGUUACGUUGUGACGUUUGGCACACCCAAAGCACUCCUACGGUAUCCAGGAGUUGCACAAUCUCAUGGCUAAGGAAAUGAUACUUGACAUUUGGAAAAGCUCUAGCUAAACGAACUACACGAUCUUUGAGCUAUGCUUAGGAUUGGGUCUUGUCCAUCACAUCAUUCUCCUAAUGAUGUGAUCCCAUUAUCAAUGACAUCCAAUGUCCAUAAUCAGGAAACCAUGACUAUCUGUCGAUCAACAAGCUAGUCAACUAGAGGCUCACUAGGGACAUGUUGUGGUCUAUGUAUUCACACGUGUAUUACGAUUUCCGGAUAACACAAUUAUAGCAUGAAUAACAGACAAUUAUCAUGAACAAAGAAAUAUAAUAAUAACCAUUUUAUUAUUGCCUCUAGGGCAUAUCUCCAAUAGUCUCCCACUUGCACUAGAGUCAAUCAUCUAGUUACAUUGUGAUGAAUCAAACACCCAUGGAAUUCUGGUGUUGAUCAUGUUUUGCCCUAGGGAGAGGUUUAGUCAACGGAUCUACUACAUUCAGGUCCGUAUGUACUUUACAAAUAUCUAUGUCUCCAUCUUGAACAUUUUCACGAAUGGAGUUGAAGCGACGCUUGAUGUGCCUGGUCUUCUUGUGAAACCUGGGCUCCUUGGCAAGUGCAAUAGCUCCAGUGUUGUCAUAGAAGAGUUUGAUCGGCCCCGAUGCAUUGGGUAUGACUCCUAAGUCGGUGAUGAACUCCUUCACCCCAGAUUGCUUCAUGCACUGCCUCCGAGGCUGCGAUGUACUCUGCUUCACAUGUAGAUCCCGCCACGACGCUUUGCUUGCAACUGCACCAGCUUACUGCCCCACCAUUCAAAAUAUAUACAUAUCCGGUUUGUGACUUAGAGUCAUCCAGAUCGUGUCGAAGCUAGCGUCGACGUAACCCUUUACGACGAGCUCUUCGUCACCUCCAUACACGAGAAACAUGUCCUUAGUCCUUUUCAGGUACUUCAGGAUAUUCUUGACAGCUGUCCAGUGUUCCUUGCCGGGAUUACUUUGGUACCUUCCUACCAAACUUAUGGUAAGGUUUACAUCAGGUCUGGUACACAACAUGGCAUACAUAAUAGACCCUAUGGCUGAGGCAUAGGGGAUGACACUCAUCUCUUCUAUAUCUUCUGCCGUGGUCGGACAUUGAGCCGAGCUCAAUUUCACACCUUGUAACACAGGGAAGAACCCCUUCUUAGACUGAUCCAUAUUGAACUUCUUCAAUAUCUUAUCAAGGUAUGUGCUUUGUGAAAGACCUAUGAGGCGUCUCGAUCUAUCUCUAUAGAUCUUGAUGCCUAAUAUAUAAGCAGCUUCUCCAAGGUCCUUCAUUGAAAAACACUUAUUCGAGUAGGCCUUAAUGAUGUCCAAGAGUUCUAUAUCAUUUCCCAUCAAAAGUAUGUCAUCUACAUAUAAUAUGAGAAAUGCUACAGUGCUACCACUCACUUUCUUGUAAAUGCAGGCUUCUCCACAAGUCUGCAUAAACCCAAACGCUUUGAUCAUCUCAUCAAAGCGAAUGUUCCAACUCCGAGAUGCUUGCACCAGCCCAUAAAUGGAUCGCUGGAGCUUGCAUACCUUGUUAGCAUUCUCAGGGUCGACAAAACCUUCCGUCUGCAUCAUAUACAGUUCUUCCUUAAGAUGACCAUUAAGGAAUGCCGUUUUGACGUCUAUUUGCCAUAUCUCAUAAUCAUAGUAUGCGGCAAUUGCUAACAUGAUUCAGAUGGACUUUAGCUUCGCUACGGGAGAGAAUGUCUCAUCGUAGUCAACCCCUUGAACUUGCCGAUAACCCUUAGCGACAAGUCGAGCUUUAUAGAUGGUAAAUUAUCAUCUGCGUCCGUCUUCUUCUUAAAGAUCCAUUUGUUUUCUAUCGCUUGCCGAUCAUCGGGCAAGUCUGUCAAAGUCCAUACUUCGUUUUCAUACAUGGAUCCUAUCUCGGAUUGCAUGGCUUCAAGCCAUUUGUUGGAAUCUGGGCCCGCCAUUGCUUCUUCAUAGUUUGAAGGUUCACCGUUGUCUAACAACAUGAUUUUCAGGACAGGGUUGCCAUACCACUCUGGUGUGGAACGUGUCCUUGUGGACCUACAAAGUUCAGUAGUAACUUCAUCCGAAGUACCUUGAUCAUCAUCAUUAACUUCCUCUUCAGUUGGUGCUGGCACCAUAGGAACAUCUUCCUGAGCUGCGCUAAUCACCGGUUCAAGAGGUAGUACUUCAUCAAGUUCCACUUUCCUCCCACUUACUUCUCUCGAGAGAAACUCUUUCUCCAGAAAGGACCCGUUCUUGGCAACAAAGAUCUUGCCUUUAGAUCUAAGGUAGAAGGUAUACCCAAUGGUUUCCUUAGGGUAUCCUAUGGAGACGCAUUUUUCCGACUUGGGUUCGAGCUUUUCAGGUUGAAGUUUCUUGACAUAAGCAUCGCAUCCCCAAACUUUUAGAAACGACAGCUUAGGUUUCUUCCCAAACCAUAAUUCAUACGGUGUCGUCUCAACGGAUUUAGACGGUGCCCUAUUUAAAGUGAAUGUAGCUGUCUCUAGAGUGUAUCCCCAAAAAGAUAGCGGUAAAUCGGUAAGAGACAUCAUAGAUCGCACCAUAUCCAAUAAAGUGCGAUUACGACGUUCGGACACACCGUUACGCUGAGGUGUUCCAGGCGGCGUGAGUUGUGAAACGAUUCCACAUUUCCUUAAGUGCGUACCAAAUUCGUGACUUAAAUAUUCUCGUCCACGAUCUGAUCGUAGGAACUUUAUCUUUCGGUCACGUUGAUUCUCUACCUCAUUCUGAAAUUCCUUGAACUUUUCAAAGGUCUCAGACUUGUGUUUCAUCAAGUAUACAUACCCAUAUCUACUCAAGUCGUCAGUGAGAGUGAGAACAUAAUGAUAUCCUGCGCGAGCCUCAACGCUCAUUGGACCGCACACAUCAGUAUGUAUGAUUUCCAAUAAGUUGGUUGCUCGCUCCAUUGUUCCGGAGAACGGAGUCUUGGUCAUUUUGCCCAUGAGGCAUGGUUCGCAUGUGUCAAAUGAUUCAUAAUCGAGAGACUCUAAAAGUCCAUCAGCAUGGAGCUUCUUCAUGCGCUUGACACCAAUGUGACCAAGGCGGCAGUGCCACAAGUAUGUGGGACUAUCGUUAUCAACUUUACAUCUUUUGGUAUUCACACUAUGAAUAUGUGUAACAUCACGUUUGAGAUUCAUUAAGAAUAAACCAUUGACCAUCGGGGCAUGACCAUAAAACAUAUCUCUCAUAUAAAUAGAACAACCAUUAUUCUUGGAUUUCAAUGAGUAGCCAUCUUGUAUUAAAUGAGAUCCAGAUACAAUGUUCAUGCUCAAACUUGGCACUAAAUAACAAUUAUUGAGGUUUAAAACUAAUCACAUAGGUAAAUGUAGAGGCAGCAUGCCGACGGCGAUCACAUCGACCUUGGAACCAUUCCCGACGCGCAUCGUCACCUCGUCCUUCGCCAGUCUCCGUUUAUUCUGCAGUUCCUGCUUUGAGUUACAAAUAUGAGCAACCGCACCGGUAUCAAAUACCCAGGAGCUACUACGAGUACUAGUAAGGUACACAUCAAUUACAUGUAUAUCACAUAUACCUUUAGUGUUGCCGGCCUUCUUGUCCGCUAAGUACUUGGGGCAGUUCCGCUUCCAGUGACCACUUCCCUUGCAAUAAAAGCACUCAGUCUCAGGCUUGGGUCCAUUCUUUGACUUCUUCCCGGCAACUGGCUUAUCGGGCGCGGAAACUCCCUUGCCGUCCUUCUUGAAGUUCUUCUUACCCUUGCCUUUCUUGAACUUAGUGGUUUUAUUCACCAUCAACACUUGAUGUUCUUUCUUGAUCUCUACCUCUGCUGAUUUCAGCAUUGAAUAUACCUCAGGAAUGGUCUUUUCCAUCCCCUACAUAUUGAAGUUCAUCACAAAGCUCUUGUAGCUCGGUGGAAGCGACUGGAGGAUUCUGUCAAUAACCGCGUCAUCCGGGAGAUUAACUCCCAGCUGAGUCAAGCGGUUGUGCAACCCAGACAUCUUGAGUAUGUGCUCACUGACAGAACUAUUUUCCUCCAUCUUACAACUAAAGAACUUGUCGGAGACUUCAUAUCUCUCGACCCGGGCAUGAGCUUGGAAAACCAUUUUCAGCUCUUCGAACAUCUCAUAUGCUCCGUGUUGCUCAAAACGCUUUUGGAGCCCCGGUUCUAAGCUGUAAAGCAUGCCACACUGAACGAGGGAGUAAUCAUCAGCACAAGACUGCCAAGCGUUCAUAACAUCUUCGUUCUCAGGGAUGGGUGCUUCACCUAGCAGUGCUUCUAGGACAUAAUCUUUCUUGGCAGCUAUGAGGAUGAUCCUCAGGUUCCGGACCCAGUCCGUAUAGUUGCUGCCAUCAUCUUUCAGCUUGCUUUUCUCUAGGAACACGUUGAAGUUGAGGGUAACGUGGGCCAUUUGAUCUACAAGACAUAUUGUAAAGAUUUUAGACUAAGUUCAUGAUAAUUAAGUUCAUCUAAUCAAAUUAUUUAAUGAACUCCCACUCAGAUUAGACAUCCCUCUAGUCAUCUAAGUGAUACAUGAUCUGAGUCGACUAGGCCGUGUCCGAUCAUCACGUGAGACGGACUAGUCAUCAUCGGUGAACAUCUCCAUGUUGAUCGUAUCUUCCAUAUGACUCAUGUUCGACCUUUCGGUCUCUUGUGUUCCGAGGCCAUGUCUGUACAUGCUAGGCUCGUCAAGUUAACCUAAGUGUUUAUGCAUGUGUAAAUCUGUCUUACAGCCGUUGUAUGUGAACGUUAGAAUCUAUCACACCCGAUCAUCACGUGGUGCUUCGAAACAACGAACUUUCGCAACGGCGCACAGUUAGGGGGAACACUCUCUUGAAAUUAUUAUGAGGGAUCAUCUUAUUUACUACCGUCGUUCUAAGUAAACAAGAUGCAAAAACAUGAUAAACAUCACAUGCAAUCAAAUAGUGACAUGAUAUGGCCAAUAUCAUAUUGCUCCUUUCAUCUCCAUCUUCGGGGCUCCAUGAUCAUCUUCGUCACCGGGAAGACACCAUGAUCUCCAUCAUCGUUUCUCCAUGAAGUUGCUCACAAACUAUUACUUCUACUACUAUGGCUAACGGUUUAGCAAUAAAGUAAAGUAAUUACAUGGCGUUAAAUCAUUGACACGCAUGUCAUACAAAAAUUAAGACAACUUCUAUGGCUCCCGCCGGUUGUCAUACUCAUCGACAUGCAAGUCGUGAUUCCUAUUACAAGAACAUGAUCUCAUACAUCACAUAUAUAUCAUUCAUCAUUCAUCACAACCUUUUUGGCCAUAUCACAUCACAAAUCAUAUGCUGCAAAAACAAGUUAGACGUCCUCUAAUUGUUGUUGCAUGUUUUACGUGGCUGCAAUAGGGUUCUAUCAAGAACGUUUUCUUACCUACGUUAAAGCCACAAUGUGAUUUGCCAACUUCUAUUUACCCUUCAUAAGGACCCUUUUCAUCGAAUCCGCUCCAACUAAAGUGGGAGAGACAGACACCCGCUAGCCACCUUAUGCAACUAGUGCAUGUCAGUCGGUGGAACCUGUCUCACGUAAGCGUACGUGUAAGGUCGGUCCGGGCCGCUUCAUCCCACAAUACCGCUGAAGCAAAAUAAGACUAUUAGUGGCAAGAAAGUUGACAACAUCUACGCCCACAACAAAUUUGUGUUCUACUCGUGCAAAGAGAACUACGCAUAGACCUAGCUCAUGAUGCCACUGUUGGGGAACGUUGUAGAAAAUAAAAAAUUUCCUAUGUUUCAUCAAGAGCAAUCUAUGAGUUCAUCUAGCAACGAGAGAGAGGAGUUCAUCUACAUACCCUUGUAGAUCGCGAGCGGAAGCGUUCAAGAGAACGGGGUUGAGGGAGUCGUACUCGUUGUGAUCCAAAUCACCGGAGAUCCUAGAGCCGAACGGACGGCACCUCCGCGUUCAACACACGUACGGUUGAGGAAGACGUCUCCUCCUUCUUGAUCCAUCAAGGGGGAAGGAGAGGUUGAUGAAGAUCCAGCAGCACGACGGCGUGGUGGUGGAUGCAACAGUGUUCUCGGCAGGGCUUCGCCAAGCUUCUGCGAGAGGGAGAGGUGUAGCAAGGGGAGAGGGAGGUGCCAAAAGCAUGGGUGCGGCUGCCCUCCCUCCCCCUCUUUAUAUAGGCCCCCUAGGGGGGCGCCGGCCCUAGGAGAUGGGAUCUCCCAGGGGGGCGGCGGCCAGGGGGGUGGCUUGCCCCCCAAGGCAAGUGGAGGCGCCCCCCACCCCUAGGGUUUCCAACCCUAGGCGCAGGGGGGCCCAAGAGGGGGCGCACCAGCCCACCAGGGGCUGGUUCCCCUCCCACUUCAGCCCAUGGGGCCCUCCAGGAUAGGUGGCCCCACCCGGUGGACCCCCGGGACCCUUCCGGUGGUCCCGGUACAAUACCGGUAACCCCCGAAACUUUACCGAUGGCCGAAACUUCACUUCCUAUAUAUAAUUAUUUACCUCCGGACCAUUCCGGAACUCCUCGUGACGUCCCGGAUCUCAUCCGGGACUCCGAACAACUUUCGGUUUACUGCAUACUCAUAUCUCUACAACCCUAGCGUCACCGAACCUUAAGUGUGUAGACCCUACGGGUUCGGGAGACAUGCAGACAUGACCGAGACGCCUCUCCGGUCAAUAACCAACAGCGGGAUCUGGAUACCCAUGUUGGCUCCCACAUGAUCCUCGAUGAUCUCAUCGGAUGAACCACGAUGUCGAGGACUCAAGCAAUCCCGUAUACAAUUCCCUUUGUCAAUCGGUACGUUACAUGCCCGAGAUUCGAUCGUCGGUAUCCCAAUACCUCGUUCAACCUCGUUACCGGCAAGUCACUUUACUCGUACCGUAAUGCAUGAUCCCGUGACCAGACACUUGGUCACAUUGAGCUCAUUAUGAUGAUGCAUUACCGAGUGGGCCCAGAGAUACCUCUCCGUCAUACGGAGUGACAAAUCCCAGUCUCGAUUCGUGCCAACCCAACAGACACUUUCGGAGAUACCCGUAGUGCACCUUUAUAGUCACCCAAUUACGUUGUGACGUUUGGCACACCCAAAGCACUCUACAGUAUCCGGGAGUUGCACAAUCUCAUGGUCUAAGGAAAUGAUGUUGGGGAACGUAGUAAUUUCAAAAUUUUCCUACGCACACACAAGAUCAUGGUGAUGAUAUAGCAACGAGGGGAGAGUGUUGUCUACGUACCCUCGUAGACCGAAGCGGAAGCGUUGACGCAACGUAGAGGAAGUAGUCGUACGUCCUCCGGUUCAACCGAUCCAAGUACCGUUACUCCGGCACCUCCGAGUUCUUGACACGCGUACAGCUCGAUGACGCACCCUCGAUCUCCGAUCCAGCAGAGGCGCCGAGGGGGAGUUCCGUCAGCACGACAGCGUGGUGACGAUCUUGAUGUUCUCCUGUUGCAGGGCUUCGCCUAAGCACCGCUACAAUAUGACCGAGGUGUAAUAUCGUGGAGGGGGGCACCGCACACGGCUAAGGAACGAUCAAUGAUCAACUUGUGUGUCCUAGGGUGCCCCCCUACCCCCGUAUAUAAAGGAGGGAGGGAGGAGGUGGCCGGCCCUAGGGGGGGCGCGCCAUGAGGAGGGGGAAACCUACUCCAAGUAGGUUUCCCUCUCUUUUCCUUAUCUUAUUUGGAGGGGGAAGGAAAGAGUACUAGUAUUAGGAAGUAGUACUAGUAGUAGUAAUAGGAAGAGGGGGAAGGAGAAAGGAAAGGGGGGGCCGGCCCCCCUCCCCAAUUCGGAUUGGGCUUGGGGGGGCGCGCCCCCCUCCCUUGCUCCUUCUCUCUUCCUCCUACAUGGGCCCAAUAAGGCCCAUAUACCUCCCGGGGGGUUCCGGUAACCUCCCGGGGCUCCAAACUUCUCCGGAACCUUUCCGGUGUCCAAAUAUAUCCGUCCAAUAUAUCAAUCUUUAUGUCUCGACCAUUUCGAGACUCCUCGUCAUGUCUGUAAUCAUAUCCGGGACUCCGAACAACCUUCGGUAUAUCAAAAUACAUAAACUCAUAAUAUAACUGUCAUCGAAACCUUAAGCGUGCGGACCCUACGGUUCGAGAACGAUGUAGACAUGACUGAGACACAUCUCUGGUCAAUAACCAAUAGCGGGACCUGGAUGCCCAUAUUGGUUCCUACAUAUUCUACGAAGAUCUUUAUCGGUCAAACCACAUAACAACAUACGUUGUUCCCUUUGUCAUCGGUAUGUUACUUGUCCGAGAUUCGAUCGUCGGUAUCCAAUACCUAGUUCAAUCUCGUUAUCGACAAGUCUCUUUACUCGUUCUGUAAUACUUCAUCUUAUAACUAACUCAUUAGUUACAUGCUUGCAAGGCUUAGGUGAUGAGCAUUGCCGAGAGGGCCCAGAGAUACCUCUCCAACAAUCGGAGUGACAAAACCUAAUCUCGAAUUAUGCUAACUCAACAUGUACCUUCGGAGACACCUGUAGUACUCCUUUAUAAUCACCCAGUUACGUUGUGACGUUUGGUAGUACCCAAAGUGUUCCUCCGGUAAACGGGAGUUACACAAUUCUCAUAGUUACAGGAACAUGUAUAAGUCAUGAAGGAAGCAAUAGCAGAAUACUAAACGAUCAAGUGCUAAGCUAACGGGAUGGGUCAUGUCAAUCACCUCAUUCUCCUAAUGAUGUGAUCCCAUUAAUCAAAUGACAACACAUGUCAAUGGUUAGGAAACAUAACCAUCUUUGAUUAAUGAGCUAGUCAAGUAGAGGCAUACUAGUGACUAUAUGUUUGUCUAUGUAUUCACACAUGUAUCAUGUUUCCGGUUAAUACAAUUCUAGCAUGAAUAAUAAACAUUUAUCAUGAUAUGAGGAAAUAAAUAAUAACUUUAUUAUUGCCUCUAGGGCAUAUUUCCUUCAAAUGAUACUUGACAUUUGGAAAAGCUCUAGCUAAACGAACUACAUGAUCUUUGAGCUAUGCUUAGGAUUGGGUCUUGUCCAUCACAUCAUUCUCCUAAUGAUGUGAUCCCGCUAUCAAUGACAUCCAAUGUCCAUAGUCAGGAAACCAUGACUAUCUGUCGAUCAACGAGCUAGUCAACUAGAGGCUCACUAGGGACAUGUUGUGGUCUAUGUAUUCACACGUGUAUUACGAUUUCCGGAUAACACAAUUAUAGCAUGAAUAACAGACAAUUAUCAUGAACAAAGAAAUAUAAUAAUAACCAUUUUAUUAUUGCCUCUAGGGCAUAUUUCCAACAGCAGGAUGAUGUGAGAGUGGUCUAGCCACCCUAGCUCAGCGACUCCAUCAUAAGUCAUUGAAGAGACAUUGAAUGUCAUCGGCAACGAUAGACCAAGCCACUUGUAGAAGCUGGGCUCGAGCUUGUAUGUCUGGGUACUGGUCCGGUCCAACCAUCAAAUGCGGCCCUUGAUCUCGGUUGUGGAGAAUGGGGCCAUGAGAUUGAGCCCAUACACCUGAGGCUCUCCAUGGUAGAGGGUCGAGAGGAAGAAGGUCCAGCUCGUGGGGCACUCCUCGCCCAAUAGUUGGUUGCAAAAAGCAUGCAAGGUUGCGGCUUUCGCAUCAUGCGGUACGGCAACCUCUGCCCCCAAGUUAAGCUCCUGGAUAUGGUUCUUUCGAUGGGGAUUUUCCCCUCUGUUUCUAAAAAGCCACCUACCUUUUGAUCGACAGAGAGAGCUCGGUUCUGGCAUAGAUGCAGAGGCAAUUUUCUGCAAUAAUUAGUGCCCUGGAUUAUUCAAACACAUGAAGUAAAUCAAUGAUAAACAUGCAAUCAUUAUCAUGAUAGGGUAAACCGGUGAGCAUGUUUCAAACCUUUGCAAUAAACGUGAAGGAUUUCUUCCCUGCGAUGACAGUGGAAGCAUCAUUCCGAUGAGGUAUAGGAAAAUCCUAGGAAGGAGAGGUGUUGGGGAGGAAAAGAGGGUCCGGAAGUCAAGCAUUCUUGAACAGGAAGUGUGAGGAGCAGAGUAUGGAGUUCGAUGCAGAAACUAUGAGAGGGGUGUGAUCGGAGGUCGGUGAGGAAGUGAUCUGAGAGCAGAGUUUGGGAGAGCAGUGCCCCACUAUUGUUGAGAAAAGCAAGAGCUACGGUUGGGGGUCACACCGAUUGGUGCACGUGAAACAUCAAUCUGAGAGAGGUAGCUCGAUGAGAGCUAAAUUAAAGAUAGGGGCAUUGAAAUCCGCAGUGAGCCGCGAGUCAAACUGCUCAUUGUUUUCCCCUCGAGGGUAUUGGAUGAGGUUAAAAUCCCCAAGCACCAUCCAUGGGCCUUGGAUCGAAAGGAUAAUGCCAUUCAUCUCGGCAAGUAAUUUGACAAUGAGAGUGUGGUGGGUCGGCAUAUAAACGUAGAAGGAGAUACCAAAGGUGGUUUAGGAGAACUGGGUGGUGAGGGUGAAGGCCCGGCAUGGAAAUGCAUGAGGGAGAGGGUGUGUUGGUCCCAAGCGGUGAUGAUGCCGCCACGGGAGCUACCAGUGUCACGAGUGUAGUAAGUGGGGAGGCGAUAAGGGGCGGAAAGUGCGAUAUUUGAAAGAGUCAAGGGAAACAAGUUUGCUUUCCUGAAUGCAAACAAUAUCUGGGCGAGCUUUAAAGAUAGUGUCACGAACAAUAACAUGUUUAUUGUCGUCUCUGAGACCUUGCAUGUUCCAAGAGAUAACAAAGAUACAUUUGGUGGUUGUUCUAUCCAUCCCUAGAGCUGCCACCGGCAGAUGGAAACACAUAUGAAGAACACCCAGACACGGGGUGCAACACGCAGGCCACAAAACACGACACACAGGAACACCGAACACUACAAGGAGUAAGCAAGCAGGGAACACCGGGAGGCAGAGUGCCAACACAUGGGGCCCAUGCAAGGGCGUCUGAACAUGAGCACCGUCGGGCACGCGGAGGAUGGGAUCAUGGCGGCGGCUCAUAGCCCGACACUGGCUUCAUUCCGAGCGACGAGGAGGAAGCCAAAAGGAUGUUGUCCUUUGGUCAUUUGGAUGAACUCUUUCGGCUCUUUCCUAGCAAGGCAAACAGUGCAGCGUUGGAUGACAGUGCCGUGGAUGGCCGUCGCCCCCUUCUGGAUCCAAACGAGGCGUCGAACCGUUGCCUCAGUGGAUGAGGUGGUGUCCUUCCCAUCAAUCAUUUAUAUGACACCUAAGGCGCGGCCUCAUGCAUGGCAAUGGGUGCAAGGCAACCACAGUAUUAUGGUAACUAACACAACGGCAACGAGAGGCGGCGGCGGCGCACCAUCGUUCGGGUGGAUGAAGACGGCCGAACUGCAGAGAGCUCUGUAUAGUUUCUUUAUUUUUCAAGGUGUUCGUACCUCUAUAAUGCUGAUAUGACCGUGAAUCUAUUGGCUCUUUUGGAAAUAAAAGUGCUUAGUAAAAAUGAAAUGAAAAAGCAACAAAACACCAUAUCUCUAUUUUCUUAAGCAGAGACAAAAUAUUUGUCUCAUCAGGUAAUUAAGCAGAAGAGAGUUGUCCAGCUAAUCAACGAAAAAUAGGACCAAAACCGUCACAAACCAUCGAGCGACACACACAUGAUAUCUCACACAUGCCUCAACAAAGAGGGUCUCGUUAAGAUACACUCUUACAUCAUCGUCAUCACUUCUCCCCAGCAGACAUCAACGCUCUCCCUAAACUCUGAGAAAACGACACCGACUUCACGGGAGACGGACAUCAAACCAACCCUCACCGUAGAGGCUGUGCGAAAACACAAGAAGACCCAUGUGAGCCAUCCACACCGGGAGCAGCGCACCUCCGAGGCUCCGACUCUGAGAGAGCUAUUUUCUUUGUAUAGCAAAUAAUAGCACAUAGUAUUUACAGCAAUCACGUACUUGCUGUGCAGCAUGUAUUAGUAUUUACAGCAAUCACGACCGUAUAGAUCGAUCGCACCAUAUUUUGGGUGACUGAUGCGACAUGGAUGGAUCAAACAGUUUGCUCAGAACAAGGAGGAAGGAUUAGCAGCGCACGCCUGAGACGCAGCCUUGUCCAUGGCCUCCUCACGGACGCCGGCGUUGCAGAGGUUGGCGAGCGAGCGCAUGUGCUUCAUCCCGUACUGCGUCAGCGGCCCGCACCGCUGCUGGAACGUCCACACCACAGACUUGAGGCAGUCCCAGUCAUCCACCACAGGCUGCCCCGCCGGCCGCACGGCGCCGAGGACCUUGGCACCUUCCUCUGAGCCGAAGAGGAGGCCGCCGAUGAGCUCCACGCUGCUGUCCACGCGAGACCGCCGCGCCAUCGUCUCCACCAGCCGCCUCCGCGCCUCGCCUUUCUCGGCCGACCCCUCCGCCGACCUCCGGUACUUGUGCCAGAAGUGGACGAGGUCGGCGUCCCGCUGGUUCACCCUGCCGCCCGGCAGCUGCCUGGAGGUCGAGGAGGAGCCCUGGAGGAAGGAGGCGUUGUCGUUGGCAGGAUUGGUGCCGAUGAAGAGGAAGAGGCUCUGGUCGUUGAGGCCCAGGUCGCCGUACUGCAUGACGUGGGAGCCGAGGCUGUACGUGCCGUUGGCCGACGUCCGGUCCCUGACCCGCUCGUACUGCUGCUUGAGGGACUCGGCGUUGAGGUUGUGCGCGUCGCUGUCCUCCAUCCAGGCGACGCUGUAGAGGUCGCCGAGGCAGGUGUCGUACUCGGGCGGCGGGGCGCCCUCGUCGUCGCCGGGGCAGUAGGUGCCCCAGCUGCUCUCCUCCGCGUUGGCCGCCGUGGUCGCGUACACGCUGAUGUUGCCCGGGAGGAGGCCCUCGAAGAUGCUCCCGGACUCGCAGGCCUCCAGGUAGAAGACCAGGCUCUUAUACCCGGCCCCGCCGGCGUGCUUCUUCUCCAGCGUCCGCACCAGGUCGUUCGCGUACAGGUACUCCUCGUCGCCCGGCAUCCCUGGUCGAUCCACCCGCGUCACGCCAUGUCACGACCCACGAUGCAAGAAAAGAAUAUACGAGUAAAGAGAUGGAAUGAUAUUUUACCAAGGAUCCCUGGGCCACCGUGAUCGGCGUAAUAGACGAAGAUGUGGUCGUCCGGGCCGCUGCUGACGACCUUGCCGCUGCCGCUGCCGGUGAGCUUGGACUUGUCGCCGAGCAGCGCGGCGAGGAAGUUGUUGGCGUUGACGUCUGCCCCCGUGUAGUCCUUGGGGACUCCGGCGUAGACGUCGCCGCCUUUGGGGUGGUUGAUGAUGACCCCAGGCCUGGGGUUGUCGCGGUUGCCGGCGAUGUCGUCGUACAUGAAGACGAUGAUGUUCUCGUCCUUCAGCCCGCCCUUCUUCAUGAUCUGGUACGCGUGGCAUACGUCCGCCUGCACUUACGCGAAUUCGUUGAUUAAUUAAGCAAUAUGACCGGAACAUUCUCCAUGAGAAUAAUUAAGGAGGAGUAUUUAAUAGGGGACUUGUUGCCUGCCUGGUGGCGGUAGUUGUAGUAGCCGUUGGAGCCGGCGAUGAGGACGGCCCAUCUCGUCCCGACGACGUCCUUCUCGGACGGCAGGCGGAGGAACUCGCCGGCGACGAGCAGGGCGAGCUGCGACGACAAGAAGAGGAGGAGGAGGGAUGAGCAGGGAAGGCGAGCCAUGGUGAGCUGCUGCUCUCUGCUUCAAUCAGCUCGCUCUGCGCGCCAAAAGUCAGGCCGGGUCGAGAUGCAGAAGACGAUCCUUCCCGUCUCGCUUUAUAUGAUACGACGAUGUUAACUCGCUUACAUUAAGUAAUUGAUUAUUAUUAUCAUAUCACUAAUGUUUCCGGCCGGCUUGUGUUGGGUGGAGAUCGAUUCGAUUGGAUGCACAGCGGCAGUAGAAGAGGAAUCUGCUCCAUCGGCGAUGUGAUGGACGUGCCAGCGACCAUGUGCAUCGUUUUGUUUGUUUUUGUUUUACGUGGCGUACCUGCGUACGUACAGACAUUAUUAUUGUUGCCUGGCGUGUAACCUAUCUUCAUUCAUUAACAGUGCCGUAACCGCCCUCGAACGAAAACAACAUUUGUGCAUGCUUACUUGCUUAGACGCAACAAACAGCCACACUUAUAAUUGGCUACUUGAUUUUAUUUUUUUAGCAUCAGUACAGACAUAAGCGUUCAUAUACACGCGCAUACACUCAUCCCUAUGAACAUACACACGCAUACUCUACCCCUAUGAGCACCUUCGAAAGACUGAGCCGGCAUAUCAUCUUAAGAUUUACGAAGUCACCGUAGGCGCCUCGUCGUCGAUGGGAACGUCUCCUCCCACUGAAAACGGAUCGCCGGAAAUUCUGAAAUAAAUUCAGGAAUAAUGCGAGCAUCAGGAUUUGAACCCUGGUGGGUUGGGGAUACCACUGUCCACCUAACCAACUCAACCACAGGUUGAUUCGCAAUUGGCCACUUGAUUGAUGGUAACUACUACAGCUAUGAAAUAUGGUUAAUGCAAGUACUGUAACCCGCUCAUCGCAGUAGAGCUUUCAUAUGGUUUGCACAUAGAUUUUUGUGUGUUCGUGUAGUACUCAUCGUUCAAACAACAAACAACAAUAUUGAACAUAAUAGUCUCUCAACACAUCAAAAACAAACGGUAGAAUACUAGCAUCUCACUCACACAUACAACCACACAUGCACACACGAAGAGAAAAACCGCCGCAUGGAAGAAAAACACUAAACAGAAGGACAAAAGGUGAUUUGAAAAAAAAUGCAGACAACUGACAAAAUUUUGAACUAAAACUAUGACACUUAUUUUGGAAUAGAGGAAGUAGUAAAUUCAAAAAGUUUCCCUUUGAUAUAAACUAAGCUCCACUCCUGCCUACAAUUCCAAACAAAAAUCCAAAGAGCGAACAUUUUCGAGAGUACGCCUAGGCGUACCACAGCUUUAUAGAAGGCAGAAUUUCAGUUACAAGAAAGCUAUCACUCGAUGCGAACAACGAGCGUAGCACGAACACCACAACCAACCAAACCAAAGGCAAACAACACCGCCGAGCAAGCUACAAGGCAAAAGAGCCUAUCCUAAAGUGACACAAAGCACCGCGUCUCAACCGACACCGGACACGCCCGAAGACCAACAGCUUCCGCAGAGAUUCUCUUGUCGACGCACCAUCCAUCCUUCGCGCCUGAGAGGAAAUGGCAGAUGAGUGGCAGGACUCGGUCCGCACCGGGAAGACACCGCCUUGGACACCCGACGGCGGACGUGCAUAGCGCCGCUGAGGAUCAAAAAAGGACCGCGGCGAACACCGGAGGAGAGCAACGAGGAGUCAGUCUUGUCUCCAAACACCAUGCUCCCAACAGACAAACGACGUCAAGGACGCCGCCAUCGUGCCGAUCCAUCGAAUCGAGGCUUUCGCCCGGAGACAUCCACCAACUCCAGGAGCGCGAAGAACAAGGCGAACACGCUCGGCGUCGCCUCCAAAAAGGGGAAUGACAUCCACAGGUGCCAUCGUCGCCGGCCCGGUAAAAGCCGUGCAAGAUUUUCAUCCGCGCGUCGCCCAUCACCCCACCUCCAAGGAAUUGAUAGCACUGUCCAAGAAGCUUCACACCGCAGCCACCUAUCCGGCCCAGUUUGGUUUAUCCCGAGGAGAUGCGAAAUUGGUGACUUUAUUUGGCCGGACUCAGGCGUGCUCUACUUAAAUAAUCAACAAAUCGAAGUCAGAUCAUUUUGUAAAAGGCAAAAAUUGUUGCUCGGGCUGUGUCUACGUCACGGAAUCUCAGGCUUCAAUCAAAAGCAGACAAAACAGGAGGUGCGACACGUCAGGCCAUCGAUCACACUUGAGUGCGAUCCAUACGCCACCACACCACCUAGAGACUGCGACGGCAAAGGUAAUUUGGUCUGAUGCUACAGUAAAUGUCAGCUCUGCUCAUCGGCCGUGCUUGGAGUACUAAUACUGCAACAAAUUUCUCUCUCGCUGGUUAACCACGCGGAGAAGCAAGCGAGCAAUCAAUAGCUUCCGGGCAAUUGGUACAUCUGAAAGUGACACGGUCGUUGUUGCACCCUGACGCUCCACCCUUCUCGGAAUACUCUUCCCUUUUUGUGUUCCACAGAUUACUGAUGGACCGAUCGGUGUCCCUUUCUUGUCCUCAGUUCUCAGUUUGGAUAUUUUUUUCCUGAGUGACCUCAGAGCAACUCUAGCAGACCCCGCAUCCCGUCCCGGCCCGUAAAAUAACCGCCAAAGUGCGGGUCGGGACGAAAAAACCUGCCCGAUAAGACCCCGCAUCCCACCCCGACACGCAAAUAUUUUUGUGGGACACGACAAAACUUCUCCUCCAACCUCUAGUUUCACGGGCUGGGAGGCCAACCCGAGCUCAGCCCCUAUCCGCAGCGAGAUUUGGCGGGAGGGACAUUUCUGCGCGGCCUUUCCCGCUCCCCCCACCCGCCGCCACCAUUACCCCACCACCACACGCUCCGGUGCAUCCUCCGCGGCCAUCCCUCGCCGCCAUGGACGACUCCCUGCUGACCCACGUCACCGUCGAGGUCGCGCACGCUCCUUCCCCUAGGGUCGUAACUUUUGCAAGACCCUCUUUUGCAUUUGUUAUACUAAAUUUGGCUUUUAUUUGCGCGUAAAAUUGUGUUAUGUUUGUUUGAAUUUAAACUUAUUUAUGGGAACUUAUGUCAAAUGCGAGAAUUGAGCGUUUUCUGUUUUCGGAUUGACGCGGAGGUGUCCGGACAGACUCCGCAAAAGUCAACCCGUAAAAACGUAUAUUUCGUGAAUAUCCUUUUAUAUGGGUCCGUUUGGGGGGUCUACAUCUGCGCCCGUUCGAGCGAGCCCGCAAAAACGAUUCUCCCGAACUGCAAACGCGUUUUACAGUAUGACCGAAUGCGGGAUCUGCUAAAGUUGCUCUUAGUCUGGAUACAAACACCGGGCUACCUUGACGUCUUCUUUGUGCACCACACGGGCUAGUACACGGUCCUGCGAGGACACGAGGGGCUGAUACGAGAGCCCACUUCCCCACCCCUCCUCCUUUAACAGGAGAGGGACAAUGGUUGCCUCAAAAAAAAGAGAGGCAAAAUGGAGAGAUUCGAUCCUUUUCUAAAACUUCAGCACAAAAUAAAACUGAUCUAAANNNNNNNNNNNNNNNNNNNNNNNNNNNNNNNNNNNNNNNNNNNNNNNNNNNNNNNNNNNNNNNNNNNNNNNNNNNNNNNNNNNNNNNNNNNNNNNNNNNNNNNNNNNNNNNNNNNNNNNNNNNNNNNNNNNNNNNNNNNNNNNNNNNNNNNNNNNNNNNNNNNNNNNNNNNNNNNNNNNNNNNNNNNNNNNNNNNNNNNNNNNNNNNNNNNNNNNNNNNNNNNNNNNNNNNNNNNNNNNNNNNNNNNNNNNNNNNNNNNNNNNNNNNNNNNNNNNNNNNNNNNNNNNNNNNNNNNNNNNNNNNNNNNNNNNNNNNNNNNNNNNNNNNNNNNNNNNNNNNNNNNNNNNNNNNNNNNNNNNNNNNNNNNNUAAAGAGCUCACAUUCAAUUGAGGUCUUCAAUUAAAAUUGGGUCACCCAAUUUUGACCGGGUCAACAAUUUCCCAGAGCUUCUUCAUUUCAUUCUUUUAUAUUAUGCUAUGCUUCCUAAUUUGUAAGGCCUCAUAAUUAAUUGAGGUCUUCAUAUGUCACCUAACUUUAACCAGGUCAACGAAUUUCUCAAUGAGCUCUCCCAUUCCCUAUGUUCCCUAAUUUUGAAAUUUUUCGUUCAAUUGAGAUAUCCAAUUUUGGAUAUGGUUACAAUUUUGAUCGGGCCAACGAUUUUUCAGAUCAAUCAGCAGCAACUGGCCUAUAAAAACAUAUCAAUACCGCACAUCCUCCUACCACCUAGAAAAAUAGUGCCGCAAUGUGAUACUAUAGCAUCAAUAUAGUACAUGCUGAAAUCUACGCAGAAACUUUCCAUAUAAAUGUAUGUUGGUUAGCGGAUAACACAGAUAUAACCACACCACAAAAUGCACAUCAAAUCACCGCAUUAUAAAUAAAAAUAAAGCAUUGUCCAUCGCCUGCCCCACCAGGCAAACUAAAUAUUCCAUCGAUUCCAAAAUAUAAGGGGUAUUAGUUUUCUGAUAACUCAAAAUUCUUUAACUUUGACCAAGUUCACAGCAAAAAAUAUCAAAUUCUUUAACUUUGACCAAGUUAACAGCAAAAAAUAUGGACUUCCAUGAUAUCAAACAAAAGAAGUACGAAAACUCAUUUCAUGAUGAAUCUAAUCAUGUAGAUUUGAUAUUAUGGAUUUCGAUGAAUUUCUCAAUAAAUUUGCUCAAACUUAACAAGUUUGACUUUUCAAAAACGUAAUACACCUUAUAUUUCAAAACAGAGUGGGUGAUUUUCUUUUAAGAAACACAACAACACCAGCGACGCAUCAAAGCGCACCCAACCCUUCUAGUACUAUACACUAUGCUGCCUAAUUUUUAAGGCCUCAAUUAAUGUCUUCCAUUUAUAAUUAGGUCAUCUAAUUUUGACCGGGCCAACGAUUUUUCAAGGAGUUUGCUCAUUCAAUUCUUUUAAUAUACUAUGCUCCCCAAUUUGUAUGGCCUCGCAAUUAAUUGAGGUCUUCAAUUUAGAAUUGGAAAUUCGAUUUUAAUUCGAUCAACAAUAUCUCAAGGAGCUCCCUCAUUCAAUUCUUUUAAUUCACUAUGCUCCUCAAUUUUGGAGCUCUCCCAUUCGAUUGCAACUUUGGAUCUGAUGUAUGAUUUUGAUUGCGAACUAUUUAUACAUACUAAGACUCAUCUCCCUAAUUGGCAAGGCCUCGCAAUCAAUUGAUGUCUUCAAUUUGAAAUUGGGUUAUCCGAUUAUGACCGUGCCAAUGAUUUGUCAAGAAGCACUCUCAUUCAAUUCUUUUAAUACACUAUACUGCCUAACUUUUACGGUCUCCCAAUCAACUAAAGCCUCUAAUUUAGAAUUGGGUCAUCCAAUUUUUUUCGGUUCAACAAUUUCUCAACGAGAUCUCUCAUUCAAUUAUUUUUAAUUCACUAUGCUUCCUAGUUGUGGAGCUCUUUCAUUCGAUUGCAAUUAUGGAUUUGGUCCACGAUUUUGAUCCAGACAAUGAUUUUUUAAAUAAACUAGCAACAACCGCCUAUAGAAACGUAUCAAUCCCGUGUGCCCUCUCACUACCUAGAAAAAAGCGCCACGAUAUGAUAUUGUAGCACUAAUAUAGUACACGCAGCCACCAACGCAGAAAUUUCUCCACAUAAAUAUUGGUUGAUUAGCAUAUGACAUAGAAUCACACCGCGAAAAACCCACCAAAACACCACAUUAUAUAAAUAUAAAUAAAACACACUCCAUCAUUUCUCCCACUAGAAAAACUAGAUAUUCCCUUAGAUACAAAAUAUAAGGUGUAUGCCUUUUUUUUAAAGUCAUUUUUCUUUAACAUUGACCAAGUUCAGAGCCAAAAACAUCGACAUUGAAUUAUAGCACCAAUAUAGUACAUGCUACCACCGACGCAAAAAUUUCCCCACAUAAAUAUUGAUUGAUUAGCAUAUGACACAGAAUCACACCGCGAAAGACCCACAAAAUACCAGAUUAUAUAAAUAUAAAUAAAACACACUCCAUUAUCUCUCCCACUUGUCAAACUAAAUAUUCCCGCAGUAACAAAAUAUAAGGUGUAUUCCUUUUUGGAAAGUUAAACUUCUUUACAUUGGCCAAGUUCAAAGUAAAAAAUAACGAUAUUCAUAAUACUAAAUAAAUAAAAUAUAAAAUUUCAUUUCAUGAUGAAUCUAAUGAUAUUGAAUUGAUAUUAUGGAUUUUGAUAUACUUAUCUACAAAUUUGAUCAAACUUAAAGAUGUUUGACUUUUCCAAAAUCUAAUACAACUUAUAUUCCGAAACAGAGUGAGUAAAAAAUAAUGAAAAUCCAAAAACACUAACGGCGCAACAAAGCUCUCCCAACCAUUCUAGUUUGCAUGACGCCCUAGCCUGAGGCAUCAUCUUUGAUGACACGGCAGCUACGUCUACCGCCGGUGCCGUGUUGCGUAGCUUGGCGCUCAAGGUAAAGGCUUCAUGCUAUCUAGUUUGGCACCCUAGCCCUAGACAUCAUGAAAAGGGUCAUUUUGUGAAAUAUUUUCAUAACAUGUUCAUUUCGUGUUGACGUUUCUAAAGAGGGUUAAAUCUGUUCACUUUCACAUUAGGAGACACGUGUGGAACCCCUAAAGAAAAGGAGACGAGUCUAGAAGGAGGACACGAUGGAGCAGUUGAGGCUGAUGUAGGGCAUCAUUCAGAAUGGGCACAAGACGGAGCAGAUACGGGAGAUCCAGAUCCGUCAUUGAAAACCCAUCUCCGACGCAUCAACCGGAACUAAAGAGGUUGGAGCCAAGGCCACCUUCUUGUUAUUGUCCGCCACCAUGGCGACCAAAAAAAUGGGGGGGGGAGCACCUCCAAACUUGCCAGAUCAAAUCGGUUCCCUAUCUUAUUGAAUGAGCUAUCACCGGAUUUACCACAAACCGCCGCCUUUAUCCAUGGAGAGCAAACUUGGGAGGUGCUCCCUCCUUUUUAAUUGCAUUGCGUUGGUGGGUAUCUUUUUAAUUCUUGCAUGCAAAGAUGUAAUGCGGCUUGAAAUCUCAAAAGGAGAUGGAGAUGAGCCCUUCAAAUCAGGAAAACACAUUUUUUUAUAAGCCCUCUAAACCGGAAACGAGGGAGUUGCUCUAGAGCUUUGACAUGGCACAAACACGACAUGACGCCAAUUUAAACCUGAGUAUAGCUAUUAUCUAGGAAAUGAAAAAAGGGAUGAGACCCUUGCCUAAGGCCGGGCAAGAGAGGGGAGAACCCCGAGCGGCCGAGGAAGCGGAACUCUCUAGGGGAAAGGCGAACAUCACGCGGGAAAGUGACUCCGAUAUAUUUCAUUUAGAGAGUCUCUAUUUGACGCGUAUGUAACUCAUAUUUGACACUCGUUGCAUCAAAAAGGUUUUGACGAACUUUUUUUUUCAUAAAAAACCAGGCGAAAAAAACAGGACGAAAAAACCGAACUGGGAGCAUGGUUUUUUCCCUUUUCGAAAGAGGCACGCCCGUGCCUCUGACGAAAUCACAACCGUGCCUCUCGCGAAAGCAAAACCAUGCCUCUCGCGAAAGAAAAAAAUAGAAAACUCGUUUUUUUCCCUUUCCGAAAGAGGCACGCCGUGCCUCUCGCGAAAGCACAACCGUGCUUCUCGCGAAAGCAAAACCAUGCCUCUCGUGAAAGAAAAAAAAACAAAAAAAAUCGUUUUUUUCUUUUCGAAAGAGGCAUGCCCGUGCCUCUCGCAAAAGCACAACUGUGCCUCUCGCGGAAGCAAAACUGUGCCUCUUGCGAAAGAAAAGAAAAACAGAAAACGUGUUUUUUUUCCUUUCCGAAAGAGGCACGGCCGUGCCUCUCGCGAAAGCACAACCGUGCCUCUUGUGGAAGCAAAACUGUGUCUCUCGCGAAAGGAAAAAAAACACAAAACAUGUUUUUUUUCAUUUCCAAGAGGCACGGCCGUGCCUCUCACGAAAGCACAACCAUGCCUAUGGCGAAAACAAAACCAUGACUCUCGCGAAAAAAAUGUGUUUUUUUGCGCAAAAGUUUUUUUCCGAUUUUUUUUGGUCGAAAAGCUAGGGAAGACCGGUGAAAAACCAAAACAUCAAAAAAACCCAAAAAAACCCGUUUAAAAAGCCGAAAACGCGUGCGGAAAAAUAAAAAAAUCGGAGGGAGCGCCCAGAGCGCGACAUGUGGCGAAUGACUAAGAGCGCGUCAAGUGGCGCUGAUCGUUGCGAGGCUCCCGAAGGAGCGCUCGCUAAUUAGUUGCUCCUGAAAAAUCCUACUUGCCGCUCGUUGCGCCAAGCUGUCGACGCUUCCCACAGGGAGGUGCGAGCGAGCGACCGAGUGGCCCGGCCCGUUUUAGCGUUACAGCAGACACGUUUUUUUUCUGGUUUUGGGAACCUUCUAGAAGGUUCCUUAACUGGCUUUUUUCAGUUUCUUUUUUAUUUCUUUUUUCAAUUUCUCUUAUUUUUCUUUUUCUUUUUUUUCUGGUUCUUUUCUUUNNNNNNNNNNNNNNNNNNNNNNNNNNNNNNNNNNNNNNNNNNNNNNNNNNNNNNNNNNNNNNNNNNNNNNNNNNNNNNNNNNNNNNNNNNNNNNNNNNNNNNNNNNNNNNNNNNNNNNNNNNNNNNNNNNNNNNNNNNNNNNNNNNNNNNNNNNNNNNNNNNNNNNNNNNNNNNNNNNNNNNNNNNNNNNNNNNNNNNNNNNNNNNNNNNNNNNNNNNNNNNNNNNNNNNNNNNNNNNNNNNNNNNNNNNNNNNNNNNNNNNNNNNNNNNNNNNNNNNNNNNNNNNNNNNNNNNNNNNNNNNNNNNNNNNNNNNNNNNNNNNNNNNNNNNNNNNNNNNNNNNNNNNNNNNNNNNNNNNNNNNNNNNNNNNNNNNNNNNNNNNNNNNNNNNNNNNNNNNNNCUUUUUUCUUUUCAAGUUAUUUUCAGAAAAAUCAGAAUUUCAUUUUUUCCUAUUUUUCAGAUUUUGUUCACAAAUCCAAAAAAUGUUCCCAUUUUACAAAAAGAAUUCAUAAAUUUAAAAAAUGUGUAAAAUAUUCGUUCCGAAUUUUCAGAAAAUUUCCCUGUUUUUUAAAAAAUUGUUUGAAUGUUUUUUGUUAAUUUUGUGAGAAAUUUGAAAAUAAUGGCAUGGAUUUCAAAAAAUGCCUGUUUUCAAAAAUUCUUCACAAAUUUCAAAAAAUGUUCUUAUUUUUCAAAAUUUUAUUCACGUAUUAAAAAAUUGUUCACAUUUCAAAUUUGUUUGGGAUUUUCAAUUUUUUUCUCCAUUUUACAAUUUUUUUCUAAAAAUUCAAAAUGUGUUCAUUAUUUUAAAAACUGUUCCCUUUUCAAAAUUUUGUUCGACAAUUCUAAAAAUGUUCAUGUUUACAAAAAAAAUCAUGUUUACAACUAAAAUUUGUUCACAAUUCAAAAUUUGUUCUCCUUUCAAAAAUAUUCAUGCUUUUGAAAUAAUCACUAUUAAAAUACUUGUUCAGAUUUUCGAAAAACUUUUUGUGUUUAUCAAAAGUUAAUCAUAAUUAUAUAAAAUAAAAAUGUUUUGUUUUGGAGUUUCAUAUGUGCACGCGGCUUCCUCCUUCCAAAUAUCACAUUUUUUGAGGAAAUGUUUUGAUUUUUCCUGAAAGUGUUUUCAUAUGUGCACGCGGCUUUGAGUUCUUUUAAAAUUCGCUUUUUCUUUUUACAUCUUGUUUAAGUGAAGUGUGCGUCGUCUACUGAUGGGCCGGCCCAGUUGAGGCAACUAUGUGCGUCGCUCCAACUAUUUGCCGCGAAAUGCGGCAAAUAGGAGCUCCCAAAUAGAAGUGCCGUCAAAUAGGCAGCCUAUCGCAUAGGGCAACCUACAAAUGGGCCGACCCAUGUUGUUAGCGCUCUUUAUUUUGUUUAAUUUUUCCUAUGUUUUUUGUUAUUCCCUUCAAUCCAAAUUAAUUGACAAUGCUUUAGUACCAUUUUGUACUAAAGUUGUAUUAAAGUUGCUUCAAUUAAUUUGGAUCUGAAGGAGUAUUUUUUUUCUAAAAUUAUGAAAAUCAUUAUUUCUGAAAACAUAAACAUUUUAUUACAAGUUGUAAUAUUUUAUAAAAAGGUAUAAACAACUUUUGAAGUUUUCGGAUUGUUAUCAGAAAUUUUGAGAACAUUUUCUGAUUUUUUUAAACUACGGGUGUUGUUUGAUAAAAGAAAAGUAAAUACCCAAACAAUAUAUAUAAAAAACAAAAGAAAAACAUGGACAAGAAAAUGAGAAGACCCUGCUCAACUCCCCUUCACUGCAUCCUCACUUCAUUUACACAUACAAAAAUCUUGGUUUGGUUAAUUUAGCUAUAUGGAUAGCUAAUCUUUGUGCUGACUUGGAUUUGUUGUGGAAUUUGUCAAUUGAGUAAAGUGAUAAUAUUAAGAACUAGAUGAUCUAACACCAUUGAAUGAAAUAAAUUAAAUUAGAUUUUCAAGGAAAUUUCUGAAUAAGAGAUAAAUAAAAAAAUGAAUUUUAAAAAAACUUCUUUCUAUUUUGGAUUUUUUUUCAAUAGGACCCUCCUUUUGGACUUAACGAUUGAACAUCCCCCUAUUCCUUCUUAUUUUAACUGAUUGUAUUUCAUAUGGAAUAAAAGGAGAAGAAAAGCAUUCCACGAUCAGCCAAGGGGAUGUUUAAAAAGAGUUCGAAUACCGAGCAAUUCACCGGCUGAUACCCGAUCCACAAAGUGUUUUUUUAGAAAACCCCGAUUCACCAUUUGAAGGCUGGACAGAACCGCUUGGGCAUAAAAGCCCGUCUUUGAUGGCCCAUCAUACAUUUCAGCUUAUACGGGGGUCAGCAUCAAUUUCAUUUCUGAUCAACCCAUCCUACCGGAGCUAAGCUGAUAUUACCUCCGUCCUGUUACUAGUCUCAUUUGUAUUUUGGGUAGCAUUUUGGUCAUGAUUUUAACUUAGAAAAUAUAAGUUAUACGUAACAAACAUAACAUCAUUGAAAAUUACAUACAAAUACAAAUCCAACAAUAUACUUUUUGGUAACAUGCACUAACAUGUUAUUAGUCGAAUAUGUCGCCUAAAUUUGACCCAAAAUACAAUGAGGACUAAUAAAUCAGGAUGGAGUGGUAUGAGGGUUUGGGGAAAAUCACUAUUUAAGUGGUACAUCUUGCAAGGAUCACCCCAUCUUCUCAUAUGCCGGCAAAUGUCACACUGCAUGUGUGUCACUUGUCACAAUAUGAGUGUUGACCAUUUUUUGUACAUUCGUUUAUUCAAACAUUUUAUCUCUAGAAUCAUGCAUUCAAAUCUUGAGCUGUUUUUAUCGUUAGAUUUCUCGCGUCAAGAUCAUUAAAGCAUUUUGAUAGGUUUCCAUGAUUAUUUUCAUGAAAAAAACAAAGUAAAACCAGAAACAACAAACCAAAUAAAAUAAAAUCCGGUAAAAAGAUGUAAUCCAAGAAACCAGCAACUGAAAAAACAAAUAAUGGAAAAAGGAAGAAAAGUUGAAGCCCGGAAGCAUAGUUGCGCUUCUCGCAAAAAACAAAUUUGUGCUUUCACAAGAAGCAAAAUUAUGUUUCUUGUGAAAGCAUGGAUUGUCUCCCUUUCCGAGAAGUAUAAAUAUAACUUUUGCGGAAGCAAAUUUGUGCUUCUCGUGGAGGCACAUUUUUUUUCAAUAAGUACAACUAUGCUUCUCGCGAAAGCAAAUAUGUGCUUUUUGUGGAAGCACAAAUUUUCUAUUUCGAGAAGCAAAACUGUGCCCCUCGUGAAACAAAAUCUAUGCAUUUUACAAGAAGCAAAUAUGUGCUUCUUGUGGAGGUAUACUUUUUUUUCCUUCUUGUUGCGCUUCGUAUAAAAUAAUUGUUACAGAACGUAGGGAAAUGCAGGCAAAAAAUCAAACAGCAAAAAUCCAUCUAAAACUCGAAAACGCAUAGCAAAAUAAAAGAAUAAAAUCCAGAGGAAGCGCCCAGCGGGCGACACAUGGCGAUGGCUGGACGCAUCACUUGGCACGCUCGCAUGUGGGUCUGCGUUACCUUCAGCCACUGACUUAGUACUUAGCAUUUUUUGUCUAAAAAAUGCAUGCUUUUUUUCUACACUACAAAAAUGUAUGCAAAUCUUAAAAAAAAUAUAAGUUUGAAUAAUUGUUUCCAGAUUUAAUAUAUUUUUAUGAAAUUAGAAAAUGUUCCAAUUCAAGAGAACGAUCAUGAAUUCAAAACAUUGUUGUGAAUUUCAGAAAAAUCAUGAAACUGAAAAUUUGUUAUUGGAUUCAAAAACUAUACGUGAAUUAAAAGUUUGUUUGUGGAUAAUUGAAAAAAGAAAUAAGUUCAUGAAUUUGAAAAAUGUUUGUGAAUUAAAAAAAGUUCAUGAAUUUCAANNNNNNNNNNNNNNNNNNNNNNNNNNNNNNNNNNNNNNNNNNNNNNNNNNNNNNNNNNNNNNNNNNNNNNNNNNNNNNNNNNNNNNNNNNNNNNNNNNNNNNNNNNNNNNNNNNNNNNNNNNNNNNNNNNNNNNNNNNNNNNNNNNNNNNNNNNNNNNNNNNNNNNNNNNNNNNNNNNNNNNNNNNNNNNNNNNNNNNNNNNNNNNNNNNNNNNNNNNNNNNNNNNNNNNNNNNNNNNNNNNNNNNNNNNNNNNNNNNNNNNNNNNNNNNNNNNNNNNNNNNNNNNACCCCUUUGAACGUGACGGCGCCCACGACUUGCCAGCGCCUUCAUGUAGGGGACAACGCCCACGGGUGUUGCCGACCACGGAUUUCUCCGGUCCCUACUCCCUCCCCCACCUCGAGACCAUACACAACUAUGACGCUUGGAGACCACCGAAGAACAAAUCUGAGACGAGGGGGGCAAGAGGUUGCGGUGGAAGGAGACAUGAGAUAUAGUGCGAUUGCCCCCGAGGCCACCGCGCACCACACCCAUCUCCCAUCGUCACCAUGCCACCUACACGACUGAGGUGUACGACCAUCACCUGUUAGCGCCACUUGCUGAGGACGACGCACCACCACUACCCGAGGUCCUUCACGGGGGAUGAAGCGACCAGAUCCUUGCUGCCACCAUCCCCAGCGGCCACACAACGUUCCGGCACCCCCCGCCGGUGACAAAGAGGGAGAGAAGAAGAGGAAGGGAGCCAUCGCGGUGGGCUAGGAUUUGCGUCGCCCGAGUCGCACAUGCGGGAGCGAUGCGGGAGCCAUGGGAUGGGGGUCUCUCUUGGAGAGAUUUGUUCAGUAGCACACAAAUUCAUGUUAGAUAAAUUAUUCAUGACGUAUAUAGUCCCUCGUUAUUUCAUGUUUUUGUAUUGUUCAGGUGAUUCCCUUUUUGAAGAAACUUCCAGUCAUACUCACGUCCUCAAUUUUUAACUAGUCAAUUCACUUUUCAUUAGGGAUAAAGUCAUGCACGUUGCUUGAAAAGAAAUUAUUUUCUUCCUACUUUAAGACUAGACAAAGCCGCACACGAGCCACACAUUAGUCAAGUUGAUCGAUGUUUUGUUUGCAUCUUCUCUUACCGUUCUUCUGUUAGCAUUUUUCACUUUUCACUUUCAACUUGUUUGGAGAACAAGAAUAAGAAAUAUGAUAUUAAAAAGGCAAAGUUGAAUGGUCAUUCAACAUCACCUUUCUUGGAGAACAAGAACAUGUAAAACAACUUUAGGACAUGUUUUGUUGCAGUAGUGAACAGUAGCUGCAUUGCAUACAAUCUCAACCAGCCUGGUUGAGCAAAAACAGCCCCAAAUGCGUCAUCUGCAAGUUGUUUGGUUGCCUACAUCUAGGGUCCCUGCAUUAGGUAAUACGCAAGUGCACUUUGUUUGGUUGCCUGCGUUGGUGUUGGGGAACGUAGUAAUUUUAAAAAAAUUCCUACGCACACGCAAGAUCAUGGUGAUGCAUAGCAACGAGAGGGGGAGUGUAUCUUCAUACCCUUGAAGAUCGCUAAGCAGAAGCGUUUAUCAACGCGGUUGAUGUAGUCGUACGUCUUCACGAUCCGACUGAUCCAAGUACCGAACGCACGGCACCUCCGAGUUCUGCACACGUUCAGCUUGAUGACGUCCUCGCCUUCUCGAUCCAGCAAGACGGGCGAAGUAGUAGAUGAGUUCCGGCAGCACGACGGCGUGGUGACGGUGUCGGUGAAGAACAAUCUCUGCAGGGCUUCGCCUAAGCACUACGGAAACUAUGACGGAGGAUAAACUAGAGGGGACGGGGUUGCCGGCACAUGACUUGGUGUUUCUUGAUGUGUCUUUGGUGCUAGCCCUGCCCCUCUAUUUAUAUGUUGAGCCUUGGGGUCGAAACUUGGAGUAAAAGCCUCCACAAAGUCGGUUUCACCCGAAAGGCAAGAGUCCUUCUUGGACUCCAGGGCCAGACGCCAGGGUCCCUGGCGUCUGCGUCCAGACGCCAGGGACCCUGGCGUCUGGCCCCUGGACUCCGCAAAACAUCCUUUUGCGCUUUCCAAAAACCUUGUGGGCUUUCCCCUUUGGCCCAAAUAACGUGUUCCUGUACCCAAACAUUUCGGGAAACAUCCGGAACCCCUUCCGGUGAAUUCCGGAACUCUUUCGGAUAUCAAACACUAUUAUCCCAUAUAUCAAACUUUAUCUCCGGACCAUUCCGGAGUUCCUCGUCAUGUCCAUGAUCUCAUCCGGGACUCCGAACAACAUUCGGUUACCAACAUACAUAACUCAUAUAAUACUAUAUCGUCAACGAAACGUUAAGCGUGCGGACCCUACGGGUUCGAGAACUAUGUAGACAUGACCUAGAACUUGUUUCCGGUCAAUAACCAAUAGCGGGACCUGGAUGCCCAUAUUGGCUCCCACAUAUUCUACGAAGAUCUUUAUCGGUCAAACCGCAUAACAACAUACGUUGGUCCCUUUGUCAUCGGUAUGUUACUUGCCCGAGAUUUGAUCGUCGGUAUCCAAUACCUAGUUCAAUCUCGUUACCGGCAAGUCUCUUUACUCGUUACGUAAUGCAUCAUUCCGUAACUAACUCAUUAGCUACAUUGCUUGCAAGGCUUAUAGUGAUGUGCAUUACCGAGAGGGCCCAGAGAUACCACUCCGACAAUCGGAGUGACAAAACCUAAUCUCGAAAUACGCCAACCCAACAUGUACCUUCGGAGACACCUGUAGUACUCCUUUAUAAUCACCUAGUUACGUUGUGAUGUUUGGUAGCACCCAAAGUGUUCCUCCGGUAAACGGGAGUUGCAUAAUCUCAUAGUUACAGGAACAUGUAUAAGUCAUGAAGAAAGCAAUAGCAAUAUACUAAACGAUCAAGUGCUAGGCUAACGGAAUGGGUCAUGUCAAUCACAUCAUUCUCCUAAUGAUGUGAUCCCAUUAAUCAAAUGACAACACAUGUCUAUGGUUAGGAAACAUAACCAUCUUUGAUUAAUGAGCUAGUCAAGUAGAGGCAUACUAGUGAUGUUAUGUUGGUCUAUGUAUUCACACAUGUAGUAUGUUUCUGGUUAAUACAAUUCUAGCAUGAAUAAUAAACAUUUAUCAUGAAAUAAGGAAAUAAAUAAUAACUUUAUUAUUGCCUCUAGGGCAUAUUUCCUUCAGUCUCCCACUUGCACUAGAGUCAAUAAUCUAGUUCACAUCGCCAUGUGAUUUAACACUAAUAUUCAUAUCUGUAUAUGAUUAACACCCAUAGUUCACAUCGUCAUGUGACUAACACCCAAAGGGUUUACUAGAGUCAAUAAUCUAGUUCACAUAGCUAUGUGAUUAACACCCAAAGAGUACUGAGUUGUGAUCAUGUUUUGCUCGUGAGAGAAGCUUAGUCAACGGGUCUGUCACAUUCAGAGCCGUAUAUAUUUUGCAAAUAUUCUAUGUCUACAAUGCUCUGCACGGAGCUAUUCUAGCUAAUUGCUCCCACUUUUAAUAUGUAUCCAUAUUGAGACUUAGAGUCAUCUGGAUUGGUGUAAAAGCUUGCAUCGUUGUAACUUUUUACGACGAGCUCUUUUAUCACUUCCAUUAUCGAGAAAUAUUUCCUUAGUCCUCAUUAAGGAUAUUCUUGACCGUUGUCCAAUGAUCUACUAUUAGAUCAAAUUUGUAUUCCUUUGCCAAACUCAGAGCAAGGUAUACAAUAGGUCUGGUACACAGCAUAGCAUACUUUAUAGAACCUAUGACUGAGGCACAGGGAAUGACUUUUCAUUCUCUUUCUAUUUUCUGCCGUGGUCGGGAUUUGAGUCUUACUCACUUUCACACCUUGCAACACAGGCAAGAACUCCUUCUUUGACUGUUCCAUUUUGAACUGCUUCAAAAUCUUAUCAAGGUAUGUACUCAUUGAAAAAACUUAUCAAGCAUAUUGAUCUAUCUAUAUAGAUCUUGAUGCUCAAUGUGUAAGCAGCUUCACCGAGGUAUUUCUUUGAAAAACUCCUUUCAAACAUUCCUUUAUGCUUUCCAGAAAAUUCUACAUCAUUUCCAAUUAAUAAUAUGUCAUUCACAUAUACUUAUCAGAAAGGCUGUAGUGCUCCUACUCACUUUCUUGUAAAUACAGGCCUUUCCAAAAGUCUGUAUAAAACCAUAUGCUUUGAUCAACUCAUCAAAGCGUAUAUUCCAAUUCCGAGAUGCUUGUACCAGUCCAUUGAUGGAUUGUUGGAGCUUGCACACUUUGUUAGCAUCUUUAGGAUUGACAAAACCUUCUGGUUGCAUCAUAUACAACUCUUCUUUAAUAAAUCCAUAAAGGAAUGCAGUUUUGACAUCCAUUUGCUAGAUUUCAUAAAAUGCGGCAAUUGCUAACAUGAUUCAGACAGACUUAAGCAUCGACACGAGUGAGAAAAUCUCAUCGUAUUCAACACCUUGAACUUGUUGAAAACCUUUUACAACAAGUCGAGAUUAGUGGAUAGUAACACUACUAUCAGUGUCCGUCUUCCUCUUGAAGAUCCAUUUAUUUAACAUGGCUUGCUGAUCAUCGAGCAAGUCAAUCAAAGUCCAUACUUUGUUCUCAUACAUGGAUCAUAUCUCAGAUUUUAUGGCCUCAAGCCAUUUCGCGGAAUCUGGGCUCAUCCUCGCUUCCUCAUAGUUCGUAGGUUCAUCAUGGUUUAGUAACAUGACUUUCAGAAUAGGAUUACCGUACCACUUUGGUGCGGACCGUACUCUGGAAGACCUACGAGGUUCUGUAGUAACUUGAUCUAAAGUUUCAUGAUCAUCAUCAUUAGCUUCCUCACUAAUUGGUGUAGGAAUCACUGGAACUGAUUUCAGUGAUGAACUAUUUUCCAAUUCGGGAGAAGGUACAGUUACCUCAUCAAGUUCUACUUUUCCUCCCACUCACUUCUUUCGAGAGAAACUCCUUCUCUAGAAAGGAUCCAUUUUUAGCAACGAAUAUCUUGCCUUCGGAUCUGUGAUAGAAGGUGUACCCAAUAAUUUCCUUUGGGUAUUCUAUGAAGACGCACUUCUCUGAUUUGGGUUUGAGCUUAUCAGGUUGAAAACCUUUUUCAUAUAAGCAUCACAACUCCAAACUUUAAGAAACGACAGCUUAGGUUUACUGCUAAACCAUAGUUCAUACGGUGUCGUCUCAACGGAUUUAGAUGGUGCCCUAUUUAAAUGUGAAUGCAGCUGUCUCUAAUGCAUAACCCCAAAACGAUAGUGGUAAACUGAUAAGAGACAUCAUAGAUCGCACCAUAUCUAGUAAAGUACGAUUACGACGUUCGGACACACCAUUACAUUGUGAUGUUCCAGGUGGCGUGAGCUGUGAAACUAUUCCACAUUGUUUUAAUUGAAGACCAAACUCGUAACUCAAAUAUUCGUCUCCGCGAUCAGAUCGCAGAAACUUUAUUUUCUUGUUAUGAUGAUUUUUCCACUUCACUCUAAAAUUCUUUGAACCUUUCAACUAUUUCAGACUUAUGUUUCAUCAAGUAGAUAUACCCAUAUCUGCUCAAUUCAUCUUGUGAAGGUCAAAAAAUAACGAUACUUGCCACGAGCAUCAACACUCAUUUGAUCGCAUACAUUGGUAUGUAUUAUUUCCAAUAAGUCAGUAGCUUGUUCCAUUGUUCCAGAGAACGGAGUUUUAGUCAUCUUGCCCAAAAGGCACGGUUCGCAAGCAUCAAAUGACUCAUAACCAAGUGAUUCCAAAAAUCCAUCUUUAUGGAGUUUCUUCAUGCGCUUUAUAUCGAUAUGACCCAAACGGCAGUGCCACAAAUAAGUUGCACUAUCAUUAUUAACUUUUCAUCUUUUGGCAUCAGUAUUAUGAAUAUGUGUAUCACUACGAUCGAGAUCCAACAAACUAUGUUCAUUGGGUGUAUGACCAUCGAAGGUCUUUUUCAUGUAAACAGAAUAACAAUUUAUUCUCUAAUUUUAAAUGAAUAACCGUAUCGCAAUAAACAUGAUCAAAUCAUAUUCAUGCUCAACGCAAACGCCAAAUAACAUUUAUUUAGGUUUAACACUAAUCCCGAAAGUAUAGGGAGUGUGCGAUGAUGAUCAUAUCAAUCUUGGAACUACUUCCAACACUCAUCGUCACUUCCCCUUCAACUAGUCUCUGUUUAUUCUGUAACUCCUGUUUCGAGUUACUAAUCUUAGCAACCGAACAAGUAUCAAAUACUCAGGGGUUACUAUAAACACUAGUAAGGCACAUAUCAAUAACCUGUAUAUCAAAUAUACCCUUGUUCACUUUGCCAUCCUUCUUAUCCACCAAAUAUUCAGGGCAUUUAUGAAGGAAAUAUGCCCUAGAGGCAAUAAUAAAGUUAUUAUUUAUUUCCUUAUAUCAUGAUAAAUGUUUAUUAUUCAUGCUAGAAUUGUAUUAACCGGAAACAUAAUACAUGUGUGAAUACAUAGACAAACAUAGUGUCACUAGUAUGCCUCUACUUGACUAGCUCGUUUAUCAAAGAUGGUUAUGUUUCCUAGCCAUGGUCAAAAGAGUUGUCAUUUGAUUAACGGGAUCACAUCAUUAGGAGAAUGAUGUGAUUGACUUGACCCAUUCCGUUAGCCUAGCACUUGAUCAUUUAGUAUGUUGCUAUUGCUUUCUUCAUGACUUAUACAAAGUUCCUGCAACUAUGAGAUUGUGCAACUCCCGUUUACCGGAAGAACACUUUGUGUGCUACCAAACGUCACAACGUAACUGGGUGAUUAUAAAGGUGCUCUACAGGUGUUUCCGAAGGUACAUGUUGGGUUGGCAUAAUUCGAGAUUAGGUUUUGUCACUCCGAUUGUCGGAGAGGUAUCUCUGGGCCCUCUCGGUAAUACUCAUCACCUAAGCCUUGCAAGCAUUGUAACUAAUGAGUUAGUUAUAAGAUGAUGUGUUAUAGAAUGAGUAAAGAGACUUGCCGGUAACGAGAUUGAACUAGGUAUUGGAUACCGACGAUCAAAUCUCGGGCAAGUAACAUACCGAUGACAAAGGGAACAACGUAUGUUGUUAUGCGGUUUGACCGAUAAAGAUCUUCGUAGAAUAUGUAGGAACCAAUAUGGGCAUCCAGGUCCCGCUAUUGGUUAUUGACCGAGAAUGGUUCUAGGUCAUGUCUACAUAGUUCUCGAACCCGUAGGGUCCGCACGCUUAACGUUACGAUGACAGUUUUAUUAUGAGUUUAUAAGUUUUGAUGUACCGAAGUUUGUUCGGAGUCCCGGAUGUGAUCACGGACAUGACGAGGAGUCUCGAAAUGGUCGAGACAUAAAGAUUGAUAUAUUGGACGACUAUAUUCGUACUUCGGAAGUGUUCCGGGUGAUUUCGGAGAAAACCNNNNNNNNNNNNNNNNNNNNNNNNNNNNNNNNNNNNNNNNNNNNNNNNNNNNNNNNNNNNNNNNNNNNNNNNNNNNNNNNNNNNNNNNNNNNNNNNNNNNNNNNNNNNNNNNNNNNNNNNNNNNNNNNNNNNNNNNNNNNNNNNNNNNNNNNNNNNNNNNNNNNNNNNNNNNNNNNNNNNNNNNNNNNNNNNNNNNNNNNNNNNNNNNNNNNNNNNNNNNNNNNNNNNNNNNNNNNNNNNNNNNNNNNNNNNNNNNNNNNNNNNNNNNNNNNNNNNNNNNNNNNNNNNNNNNNNNNNNNNNNNNNNNNNNNNNNNNNNNNNNNNNNNNNNNNNNNNNNNNNNNNNNNNNNNNNNNNNNNNNNNNNNNNNNNNNNNNNNNNNUAGGAGGAGGAUUCCUCCUCCCUUGGCGCGCCCAAGGGGCCGGCCGGCCUCCCCCUUGCUCCUUUAUAUACGGGGGCAGGGGGGCACCCCAUGACACACAAGUUGAUCUACGGAUCGUUCCUUAGCCGUGUGCGGUGCCCCCCUCCACCAUAUUCCACCUCGGUCAUAUCAUCGUGGAGUUUAGGCGAAGCCCUGCGCCGGUAGAGCAUCAUCAUCAUCACCAUGCCAUCGUGCUGACGAAACUCAUCCCCGAAGCUUUGCUGGAUCGGAGCCCGGGGAUCGUCAUCGAGCUGAACGUGUGCUGAACUCGGAGGUGCCGUACGUUCGGUACUUGGAUCGGUCGGAUCAUGAAGACGUACGACUACAUCAACCGCGUUGUCAUAACGCUUCCGCUUAUGGUCUACGAGGGUACGUGGACAACACUCUCCCCUCUCGUUGCUAUGCCAUCACCAUGAUCUUGCGUGUACGUAGGAAUUUUUUUGAAAUUACUACGUUCCCCAACAGUGGCAUCCGAGCCUAGGUUUUAUGCGUUGAUGUUAUAUGCACGAGUAGAACACAAGUGAGUUGUGGGCGAUACAAGUCAUACUGCUUACCAGCAUGUCAUACUUUGGUUCGGCGGUAUUGUUGGAUGAAGCGGCCCGGACCGACAUUACGCGCACGCUUACGCGAGACUGGUUUUACCGCCGUGAUUUGCACACAGGUGACUAGCGGGUGUCAGUUUCUCCAACUUUAGUUGAACCAAGUGUGGCUACACCCGGUCCUUGAGAAGGUUAAAACAGCACCAACUUGACGAACUAUCGUUGUGGUUUUGAUGCGUAGGUAAGAACGGUUCUUGCUCAGCCCGUAGCAGCCACGUAAAACUUGCAACAACAAAGUAGAGGACGUCUAACUUGUUUUUGUAGGGAAUGUUGUGAUGUGAUAUGGUCAAGACGUGAUGAGAUAUAAGUUGUUGUAUGAGAUGAUCAUGUUUUGUUGAAGUUAUUGGCAACUGGCAGAAGCUCUAUGGUUGUCUCUUUGUUGCAUAAGAUGCAAGUGCCAAAUAAUUGCUUUACUUUAUCACUAUGCGAUAGCAAUAGUUGCAAGAGCAAUAGUUGGCGAGACGACCAUGUGACGACACAUUGAUAUAGAUCAAGAUGAUGAAGAUCAUGGUGUCGUGCCGGUGACGAUAGAGAUCAUGCCAGUACUUUGGAGAUGGAGAUCAAAGGCGCAAGAUGAUCAUGGCCAUAUCAUGUCACCUAUUUUGAUUGCAUAUGAUGUUUAUCUGUUAUACAUCUUAUUCUGUUUUGUUUGGCGGCAGCAUUAUAAGAUGAUCUCUCACUAAUUAUCAAGAAGUGUUCUCCCUGAGUAUGCACCGUUACCAAAGUUCGUUGUGCCCAGACACCACGUGAUGAUCGGGUGUGAUAAGCUCUACGUCCAUCUACAACGGGUGCAAGCCAGUUUUGCACAUGCAGAAUACUCAGGUUAAACUUGACGAGCCUAGCAUAUGCAGAUAUGGCCUCGGAACACGGAGACCGAAAGGUCGAGCGUGAAUCAUAUAGUAGAUAUGAUCAACAUAGUGAUGUUCACCAUUGAAAACUACUCCAUCUCACGUGAUGAUCGGUUAUGGUUUAGUUGAUUUGGAUCACGUGAUCACUUAGAAGAUUAGAGGGAUGUUUUUCUAAGUGGGAGUUCUUAAGUAAUAUGAUUAAUUGAACUUAAAUUUAUCAUGAACUUAGUCCUCGUAGUAUUUUGCAAAUUAUAUUGUAGAUCAAUAGCUUGCGUUGUUGCUUUCAUAUGUUUAUUUUGAUAUGUUCCUAGAGAAAAUUGUAUUGAAAGAUGUUAGUAGCAAUGAUGCGGAUUGGAUCCAUGAUCUGAGGUUUAUCCUCAUUGCUGCACAGAAGAAUUAUGUCCUUAAUGCACUGCUAGGUGAUAGACCUAUUGCAGGAGCAGAUGUAGACGUUAUGAACGUUUGGCUAGCUCAAUAUGAUGACUACUUGAUAGUUUAGUGCACCAUGCUUAACGGCUUAGAAUCGGGACUUCAAAGACGUUUUGAACGUCAUGGACCAUAUGAGAUGUUCCAGGAGUUGAAGUUAAUAUUUCAAGCAAAUAUCCGAGUUGAGAGAUAUGAAGUCUCCAACAAGUUCUAUAGCUAAAAGAUGGAGGAGAAUCGCUCAACUAGUGAGCAUGUGCUCAGAUUGUCUGGGUACUACAAUCGCUUGAAUCAAGUGGGAGUUAAUCUUCCAGAUAAGAUAGUGAUUGACAGAGUUCUCUAGUCACCAUCACUAAGUUAGUAGAACUUUGUGAUGAACUAUAGUAUGCAAGGGAUGACAAAAACGAUUCCCGAGCUCUUCGUGAUGCUGAAAUCGACGAAGGUAGAAAUCAAGAAAGAGCAUCAAGUGUUGAUGAUUGACAAGACCACUAGUUUCAAGAAAAGGGCAAAGGGAAAGAAAGGGAACUUCAAGCAGAAUCGCAAGCAAGUUGUCACUCCCGCGAAGAAGCCCAAAGCCUGAAACUGAGUGAUUAUACUGCAAAGGAAAUGGUCACUGGAAGCGGAAAUGCCCUGAAUAUUUGGUGGAUAAGAAGGAUGGCAAAGUGAACAAGGGUAUAUUUGAUAUACAGGUUAUUGAUGUGUGCCUUACUAGUGUUUAUAGUAGCCCCUGAGUAUUUGAUACUUGUUCGGUUGUUAAGAUUAGUAACUCGAAACAGGAGUUUCAGAAUAAAUAGAGACUAGUUGAAGGGGAAGUGACGAUGAGUGUUGGAAGUAGUUCCAAGAUUGAUAUGAUCAUCAUCGCACACUCCCUAUACUUUCGGGAUUAGUGUUAAACCUAAAUAAAUGUUAUUUGGCAUUUGCGUUGAGCAUGAAUAUGAUUUGAUCAUGUUUAUUGCAAUACGGUUAUUCAUUUAAAGUCAGAGAAUAAUUGUUGUUCUGUUUACAUGAAUAAGACCUUCGAUGGUCAUACACCCAAUGAAAAUAGUUUGUUGGAUCUCGAUCGUAGUGAUACACAUAUUCAUAAUAUUGAUGCCAAAAGAUGCAAAAUUAAUAAUGAUAGUGCAACUUAUUUGUGACACUGCCGUUUGGGUCAUAUCGGUGUAAAGCGCAUGAACAAACUCCAUAAAGAUGGAUUUUCGGAAUCACUUGGUUAUGAAUCAUUUGAUGCUUGCGAACCGUGCCUUUUGGGCAAGAUGACUAAAACUCCAUUCUCCGGAACAAUUGAACGAGCUACUAACUUAUUGGAAAUAAUACAUACCGAUGUAUGUGAUCCGAUGAGUGUUAAGGCUCGUGGCAAGUAUCGUUAUUUUCUAACCUUCACAGAUGAUUUGAGCAGAUAUGGGUAUAUCUACUUGAUGAAACAUAAAUCUGAAAUAGUUGAAAGGUUCAAAGAAUUUCAGAGUGAAGUGGAAAAAUCAUCAUAACGAGAAAAUAAAGUUUCUGCGAUCUGAUCGCGGAGACGAAUAUUUGAGUUACGAGUUUGGUCUUCGAUUAAAACAAUGUGGAAUAGUUUCACAGCUCACGCCACCUGGAACACCACAAUGUUAUGGUGUGUCCGAACGUCGUAACCGCACUUUAUUGAUAUGGUGCGAUCUAUGAUGUCUCUUACUGAUUUACCACUAUUGUUUUGGGGUUAUGCAUUAGAGACAGCUGCAUUCACCUUAAAAAGGGCACCAUCUAAAUCCGUUGAGACGACACCAUAUGAACUGUGGUUUAGCAAGAAACCCAAGUUGUCGUUUCUUAAAGUUUGGGGCUGUGAUGUUUAUGUGAAAAUUUUUUAUCCUGAUAAGCUCAAACCCAAAUCGGAGAAGUGCGUCUUCAUAGAAUACCCAAAGGAAACUGUUGGGUACACCUUCUAUCACAGAUCCGAAGGCAAGAUAUUCGUUGCUAAAUAUGGAUCCUUUCUAGAGAAGGAGUUUCUCUCGAAAGAAGUGAGUGGGAGGAAAGUAGAACUUGAUGAGGUAACUGUACCUGCUCCCUUAUUGGAAAUUAGUUCAUCACAGAAAUCUGUUCCUGUGACUACUACACCAAUUAGUGAGGAAGUUAAUGAUGAUGAUCAUGAAACUUCAGAUUAAGUUACUACAGAACCUCGUAGGUCUUCCAGAGUAAGAUCCGCACCAGAGUGGUACGGUAAUCCUAUUUUGGAAGUCAUGUUACUUGACCAUGAUGAACCUACGAACUAUGAGGAAGCGAUGAUGAGCCCGGAUUCCGCAAAAUGGCUAGAAGCCAUGAAAUCUGAGAUGGGAUCCAUGUAUGAAAACAAAGUAUGGACUUUGGUUGACUUGCCCGAUGAUCGGCAAGCCAUUGAGAAUAAAUGGAUCUUUAAGAAGAAGACUGACGCUGAUGGUAAUAUAACUGUCUAUAAAGCUCGACUUGUUGCAAAAGGUUUUUGACAAGUUCAAGGGGUUGACUACGAUGAGACUUUCUCACCCGUAGCGAUGCUUAAGUCCGUCCGGAUCAUGUUAGCUAUUGUUGCAUUUCAUGAUUAUGAAAUCUGGCAAAUGGAUAAACAAAACUGCAUUCCUUAAUGGUUUUCUUAAAGAAGAGUUGUAUAUGAUGCAACCAGAAGGUUUUGUCAAUCCUAAAGGUGCUAACAAAUUGUGCAAGCUCCAGCGAUCCAUCUAUGGACUGGUGCAAGCAUCUCGGAGUUGGAAUAUAUGCUUUGAUGAGUUGAUCAAAGCAUAUGGUUUUAUACAGACUUUUGAAGAAGCCUGUAUUUACAAGAAAGUGAGUGGGAGCUCUGUAGCAUUUCUAAUAUUAUAUGUGGAUGACAUAUUGUUGAUUGGAAAUGAUAUCGAAAUUCUGGAUAGCAUGAAAGGAUACUUGAAUAAGAGUUUUUCAAAGCAAGACCUCGGUGAAGCUGCUUACACAUUGAGCAUCAAAUCUAUAUAGAUAGAUCAAGAUGCUUGAUAAGAUUUUUCAAUGAGUACAUACCUUGAUAAAUUUUUGAAAUAGUUCAAAAUGGAACAGUCAAAUAAGGAGUUCUUGCAUGUGUUACAAGGUGUGAAGUUGAGUAAGACUCAAGACCCAACCAUUGCAGAAAAUAGAAAGAGAAUGAAAAGUCAUUCCCUAUGCCUCAGUCAUAGGUUCUAUAAAGUAUGCUAUGAUGUGAACCAGACCUAUUAUAUACCUUGCUCUGUGUUUGGCAAAGGAAUACAAUUUUGAUCUAAUAGUAGAUCACUGGACAGCGGUCAAGAAUAUCCUUAGUGAGGACUAAGGAGAUGUUUCUCGAUAAUGGAGGUGAUAAAAGAGUUUGUUGUAAAAGUUACAUCGGUGCAAAUUUUUACACUGAUCUAGAUGACUCUAAGUCUCAAUCUGGAUACAUAUUGAAAGUGGGAGCAAUUAGCUAGAGUAGCUUCGUGCAGAACAUUGUAGACAUAGAAUAUUUGCAAAAUACAUACGACUCUGAAUGUGACAGACCCGUUGACUAAGCUUCUCUCACAAGAAAAACAUGAUCACACCUUAGUACUCUUUGGGUGUUAAUCACAUAGUGAUGUGAACUAGAUUAUUGACUCUAGUAAACCCUUUGGGUGUUGGUCACAUGAUGAUGUGAACUAUGAGUGUUAAUCACAUACAGAUGUGAAUAUUGGUGUUGAAUCACAUGAUGAUGUGAACUAGAUUAUUGACUCUAGUGCAAGUGGGAGACUGAAGGAAAUAUGCCCUAGAGGCAAUAAUAAAGUUAUUAUUUAUUUCCUUAUAUCAUGAUAAAUGUUUAUUAUUCAUGCUAGAAUUGUAUUAACCGGAAACAUAAUACAUGUGUGAAUACAUAGACAAACAUAGUGUCACUAGUAUGCCUCUACUUGACUAGCUCGUUUAUCAAAGAUGGUUAUGUUUCCUAGCCAUGGACAAAAGAGUUGUCAUUUGAUUAACGAGAUCACAUCAUUAGGAGAAUGAUGUGAUUGACUUGACCCAUUCCAUUAGCCUAGCACUUGAUCGUUUAGUAUGUUGCUAUUGCUUUCUUCAUGACUUAUACAAAGUUCCUGCAACUAUGAGAUUGUGCAACUCCCGUUUACCGGAAGAACACUUUGUGUGCUACCAAACGUCACAACGUAACUGGGUGAUUAUAAAGGUGCUCUACAGGUGUUUCCGAAGGUACAUGUUGGGUUGGCAUAAUUCGAGAUUAGGUUUUGUCACUCCGAUUGUCGGAGAGGUAUCUCUGGGCCCUCUCGGUAAUACUCAUCACCUAAGCCUUGCAAGCAUUGUAACUAAUGAGUUAGUUAUAAGAUGAUGUGUUAUAGAACGAGUAAAGAGACUUGCCGGUAACGAGAUUGAACUAGGUAUUGGAUAUCGACGAUCAAAUCUCGGGCAAGUAACAUAGCGAUGACAAAGGGAACAACGUAUGUUGUUAUGCGGUUUGACCGAUAAAGAUCUUCGUAGAAUAUGUAGGAACCAAUAUGGGCAUCCAGGUCUCGCUAUUGGUUAUUGACCGAGAAUGGUUCUAGGUCAUUUCUACAUAGUUCUCGAACCCGUAGAGUCCGCACGCUUAACGUUACGAUGACAAUUUUAUUAUGAGUUUAUAAGUUUGAUGUACCGAAGUUUUUUGGAGUCCCGGAUGUGAUCACGGACAUGACGAGGAGUCUCAAAAUGGUCGAGACAUAAAGAUUGAUAUAUUGGACGACUAUAUUCGGACACUGAAAGUGUUCGGGUGAUUUCGGAGAAAACCGGAGUGCCGGGGGGGUUACCGGAACCCCCCGGGAGAGUAUUGGGCCUUAUGGGCCUUAGGGGAAAGGAGAGAGGGGCGGCCAGCGUGGGCCACACGCCCCCUCCCCCCCUGGUCCGAAUUGGACUAGGAGGGGGGGGGGGCGGCGCCCCCCCCCUUUCCUUCCCCCUCUCCCCUUCCUUCCCCCUCCAAGUAGGAGUAGGAAAGGAGGAGUCCUACUCCUACUAGGAGGAGGAUUCCUCCUCCCUUGGCGCGCCCAAGGGGCCGGCCGGCCUCCUCCCUUGCUCCUUUAUAUACGGGGGCAGGGGGACACCCCAUGACACACAAGUUGAUCUACGGAUCGUUCCUUAGCCGUGUGCGGUGCCCCCCUCCGUCAUAUCGUCGCAGAGUUUAGGCGAAGCCCUGCGCCGGUAGAGCAUCAUCAUCGUGACCACGCCGUCGUGCUGACGGAACUCAUCCCCGAAGCUUUGCUGGAUCGGAGCCCGGGGAUCGUCAUCGAGCUGAACGUGUGCUGAACUCGGAGGUGCCGUACGUUCGGUACUUGGAUCGGUCGGAUCGUGAAGACGUACGACUACAUCAACCGCGUUGUCAUAACGCUUCCGCUUACGGUCUACGAGGGUAUGUGGACAACACUCUCCCCUCUCGUUGCUAUGCCAUCACCAUGAUCUUGCGUGUACGUAGGAAUUUUUUUUGAAAUUACUACGUUCCCCAACAAUUUCCGCUUCCAGUGACCAUUUCCUUUGCAGUGUAAGCACUCAGUUUCAGGCUUUGGUCCAGCUUUGGUCUUCUUCAUGGGAGUGACAACUUGUUUGCCAUUCUACUUGAAGUUUCCCUUUCUUUCCCUUUGCCCUUUUCUUGAAACUAGUGGUCUUGUCAAUCAUCAACACUUGAUGCUCUUUCUUGAUUUCUACCUUCGUUGAUUUCAACAUCACGAAGAGCUCGGGAAUCAUUUUCGUCAUCCUUUGCAUACUAUAGUUCAUCACGAAGUUCUACUAACUUGGUGAUGGUGACUAGAGAACUCUGUCAAUCACUAUCUUAUCUGGAAGAUUAACUCCCACUUGAUUCAAGCGAUUGUAGUACCCAGACAAUCUGAGCACUUGCUCACUAGUUGAGCGAUUCUCCUCCAUCCUUUAGCUAUAGAACUUGUUGGAGACUUCAUAUCUCUCAACUCGGGUAUUUGCUUGAAAUAUUAACUUCAAUUCCUGGAACAUAUCAUAUGGUCCAUGACGUUCAAAACAUCUUUGAAGUCCCGAUUCUAAGCCGUUAAGCAUGGUGCACUAAACUAUCAAGUAGUCAUCAUAUUGAGCUAGCCAAACGUUUAUAACAUCUGCAUCUGCUCCUGCAAUAGGUCUGUCACCUAGCGGUGCAUUAAGGACAUAAUUUUUCUGUGCAGCAAUGAGGAUAAACCUCAGAUCACGGAUCCAAUCCGCAUCAUUGCUACUAACAUCUUUCAACACAAUUUUCUCUAGGAACAUAUCAAAAUAAACAUAUGAAAGCAACAACGCAAGCUAUUGAUCUACAACAUCAUUUGCAAAAUACUACCAGGACUAAGUUCAUGAUAAAUUUAAGUUCAAUUAAUCAUAUUACUUAAGAACUCCCACUUAGAUAGACAUCCCUCUAAUCCUCUAAGUGAUUAUGUGAUCCAUAUCAACUACACCAUGUCCGAUCGUCACGUGAGAUGGAGUAGUUUCAACGGUGAACAUCAAUAUGUUGAUCAUAUCUACUAUAUGAUUCACGCUCGACCUUUCGGUCUCCGUGUUCCGAGGCCAUAUCUGUUAUAUGCUAGGCUCGUCAAGUUUAACCUGAGUAUUCCGCGUGUGCAACUGUUUUGCACCCAUUGUAUUUGAACGUAGAGCCUAUCACACCCGAUCAUCACGUGGUGUCUCAGCACGAAGAACUUUCGCAACGGUGCAUACUCAGGGAGAACACUUCUUGAUAAUUUUAGUGAGAGAUCAUCUUAAAAUGCUACCAUCAAUCAAAGCAAGAUAAGAUGCAUAAAGGAUAAACAUCACAUGUAAUCAAUAUAAGUGAUAUGAUAUGGCCAUCAUCAUCUUGUGCUUGUGAUCUCCAUCUUCGAAGCACCGUCAUGAUCACCAUUGUCACUGGCGCGACACCUUGAUCUCCAUCGUAGCAUCGUUGUCGUUACACCAUCUAUUGCUUCUACGACUAUCGCUACAACUUAGUGAUAAAGUAAAGCAAUUACAGGGCGUUUGCAUUUCAUACAAUAAAGCGACAACCAUAUGGCUCCUGCCAGUUGCCGAUAACUUCGGUUACAAAACAUGAUCAUCUCAUACAAUAAAAUAUAGCAUCACGUCUUGACCAUAUCACAUCACAACAUGCCCUGCAAAAACAAGUUAGACGUCCUCUACUUUGUUGUUGCAAAUUUUACGUGGCUGCUACGGGCUGAGCAAGAACCGUUCUUACCUACGCAUCAAAACCACAACGAUAGUUCGUCAAGUUAGUGCUGUUUUAACCUUCGCAAGGACCAGGCGUAGCCACACUCGGUUCAACUAAAGUUGGAGAAAGAUACACCCGCUAGUCACCUGUGUGCAAAGCACGACGGUAAAACUAGUCUCGCGUAAGCGUACACGUAAUGUCGGUCCGGGCCGCUUCAUCCAACAAUACCGCCGAACCAAAGUAUGACAUGCUGGUAAGCAGUAUGACUUGUAUCGCCCACAACUCACUUGUGUUCUACUCGUGCAUAUAACAUCAACGCAUAAAACCUAGGCUCGGAUACUACUGUUGGGGAACGUAGUAAUUUCAAAAAAAUUCCUACACACACGCAAGAUCAUGGUGAUGCAUAGCAACGAGAGGGGGAGUGUAUCUUCAUACCCUUGAAGAUCGCUAAGCGGAAGCAUUUAUCAACGCGGUUGAUGUAGUCGUACGUCUUCACGAUCCGACCGAUCCAAGUACCGAACGCACGGCACCUCCGAGUUCUGCACACGUUCAGCUCGAUGACGUCCUCGCCUUCUCGAUCCAGCAAGACGGGCGAAGUAGUAGAUGAGUUCCGGCAGCACGACGGCGUGGUGACGGUGUCGGUGAAGAACAAUCUCCGCAGGGCUUCGCCUAAGCACUACGGAAACUAUGACGGAGGAUAAACUAGAGGGGACGGGGUUGCCGACACACGGCUUGGUGUUUCUUGAUGUGUCUUUGGUGCUAGCCCUGCCCCUCUAUUUAUAUGUUGAGCCUUGGGGUCGAAACUUGGAGUAAAAGCCUCCACAAAGUCGGUUUCACCCGAAAGGCAAGAGUCCUUCUCGGACUUCAGGGCCAGACGCCAGGGUUCCCGGCGUCUGGACCCAGACGCCAGGGACCCUGGCAUCUGGCCCUUGGACUCCGCAAAACUUCCUUUUGCGCUUUCCAAAAACCUUGUGGGCUUUCCCCUUUGGCCCAAAUAACGUGUUCUCGUAUCCAAACAUUUCGGGAAACAUCCGGAACCCCUUCCGGUGAAUUCCGGAACUCUUCCAGAGAUCAAACACUAUUAUCCCAUAUAUCAAACUUUAUCUCCGGACCAUUCCGGAGUUCCUCGUCAUGUCCAUGAUCUCAUCCGGGGCUCCGAACAACAGUCGGUUACCAACAUACAUAACUCAUAUAAUACUAUAUCGUCAACGAAACGUUAAGCGUGUGGACCCUACGGGUUCGAGAACUAUGUAGACAUGACCUAGAACUUGUUUUCGGUCAAUAACCAAUAGCAGGACCUGGAUGCCCAUAUUGGCUCCCACAUAUUCUACGAAGAUCUUUAUCGGUCAAACCGCAUAACAACAUAUGUUGUUCCCUUUGUCAUCGGUAUGUUACUUGCCCGAGAUUUGAUCGUCGGUAUCCAAUACCUAGUUCAAUCUCGUUACCGGCAAGUCUCUUUACUAAUUACGUAAUGCAUCAUUCCGUAACUAACUCAUUAGCUACAUUGCUUGCAAGGCUUAUAGUGAUGUGCAUUACCGAGAGGGCCCAGAGAUACCUCUCCGACAAUCGGAGUGACAAAACCUAAUCUCGAAAUACGCCAACCCAACAUGUACCUUCGGAGACACCUGUAGUACUCCUUUAUAAUCACCCAGUUACGUUGUGACGUUUGGUAGCACCCAAAGUGUUCCUCCGGUAAACGGGAGUUGCAUAAUCUCAUAGUUACAGGAACAUGUAUAAGUCAUGAAGAAAGCAAUAGCAAUAUACUAAACGAUCAAGUGCUAGGCUAACGGAAUGGGUCAUGUCAAUCACAUCAUUCUCCUAAUGAUGUGAUCCCAUUAAUCAAAUGACAACACAUGUCUAUGGUUAGGAAACAUAACCAUCUUUGAUUAAUGAGCUAGUCAAGUAGAGGCAUACUAGUGACGUUAUGUUGGUCUAUGUAUUCACACAUGUAUUAUGUUUCCGGUUAAUACAAUUCUAGCAUGAAUAAUAAACAUUUAUCAUGAAAUAAGGAAAUAAAUAAUAACUUUAUUAUUGCCUCUAGGGCAUAUUUCCUUCAGUUGGCCCAAGCGGCACAUGAACACGGCGUUUGGUUGCAUACGACGUACAUGGUGUGCUUACCUUGUAUCCUAGUUGGUGAGCUUAGCCACAACGAUCAUACCUAGCACACCAACGCCACAGCACAACAAUGAUGAUGAACUGGCGAAGAUGAUGAAGUUCUUCAGCUUCAGCCCAAACUGACGAUCCACCUUAGCAUCUUCCACUUUGAACCUCCAACCUUGCUACUGUCAACACUGCUGCUUUUGCACCCAGUCGGAGUAAGUUUGUUCUGCUGUCUGCCUAGUCUUGAACCCUCUAUGGCUGCUGUUGCUAUACGACGCCACUUGUGCACUGACUUCUUCCCAUGAACUGUAAACCCCUGGAGCCUUACUGAUGAACACGACAUACCACUUGCCCUAGCAAUGCACAAGAGCAAGAGUUGAAACAGCAAAACAAUGAAGCACACAAGUAGCAAUCAAAAUAGCACACAAACAAUAAUGGAGCAAAAGAGAAGAAGUAAAGCAUGCAUGAUCAUACGGCAUAGCAAGUUCUGCCUAGCACUACCAUGGUGUUAUCCUACCACCACAUACAAAAGAGGGUAUCGUCCUACCACCGCAAGUUCACCAUCAUCUUGAGGGGUUAGUAUAUACCCCCUCACCAAAAUAUACAGACCAUCAAUUAGUUUUCUAGCCCUAGCUACACAAAAUGUACGCCAUCAUCGUCAUCGUCGUCAUCGUUGCCACUGCCAUCGGCAUCACCGCCAGGGAUCAUGAACACUCACAUGCAUCACUACUCUAGUAGUAGUGCUUGCCCAGCCAGCUCCUGAGCCACAACACCCUGUGAGCAUCUGCCAUGGCAACGAACCCAACACCCUCAAGCAGGUGGCUGAGAGCUGCCAUGAGAGCCUCGUUGCUGAAGCCACCCUGGGUCAUGACAGCGCCAUACAAACUAGGGUGGACAUUGAGGGGCUUGCACUUCUUGAUGGUUGUUGCCACCUCCUUCACCGCCUCAGUCAUGCUGCAAAAGAAAUUGAUCUCCUCCUCCAUCAGGCCUCAUCUCUUCCUCUUCCUAUCAUGGACGGGGUCGAAGGGCUUGUCGAAGGGCUUGUCAGGGCCAUCAAAGUCCUCAACGUCCGGGGUCCCAGGGAAGUAUGGCAUGGGAAAACCAAGAGGCUCCCCCGAUCCCAUGGCAUGCUUCCCAGUUGCCAGCCCAAAGGAGAAGAUGUGCUGCAUCUGACUGUAGUUCUGUAUGGGUAUGUUGAGGAACUCAGCGUCCCUUGGGUGGUCCUAAGAAUGAAACACAAGUGUUGUUAGUUGUGAUUAGCAGUAGGCAAUGGUGGACAGUAUGAAAAUGAAGAGGUCUGUGAGCUAACAGCGACAUGGCGGGCGUAGUGCUCUGCCUCCAGAACUAUGGAGCAAGUGUUCUCAUCCAAUGAGCUGCCGCUAAGGUCUCUCAGCUUGGACACUUGGAUCCAUCGACAUCUCCACUUCCUCAGGUGGUUGUACACCUGGGUGGCGGACACCUCCUGCCCACAGAACUUGAACACCUGCUUCACAACGGUGUUCAAGUGCGCCUCCUUGAAGCCCUUGUCAUUAAUUUCACUAGAGAUGAGCUCACACAUCUUGUUCAGCACAAACGUGAACAUGAAUGGCUGCCACUUCAUGUUGUUCGACCUACCAUCCUUCUUUGCCUUUGCUGUUGGUACCUUGAGUGCAGCGACGACAGCAACAACAAGAGGAGUUUGCUCAAUGAGCACUACUGGCACAUAGACAGAAUCAGAUGCGAACACCUCUGAAUUAGGUGCCAUUCGGACAUAGGCUGUGAGUCCUCGACAAACGAUGGAGCAAACUGGAUGUCGGACAGGACAAGGGCCUGACUAAGAUCUUGCGUCUGCAUGGUCAUGUCCUACAAUCGUAGCACGCAUUGACAGUAAGCAUAGCACACAACAUACUGGACAAUCCAUGAAAGCAGGAGCAUACAUGUACAUAGUUCAUCACUAUCAUACCAAGCACAUGCUUCAUCACUAUCAUAGUAAGCACAUGGUUCAUCGCUAUCAUACUAAGCAUACUGGACAAUCUAUGAGCAGGAACAUACAUAUACAACAAACAUCAUGCUACAAAUGGACCAUCAAUAGCUACAAAUCACAGAUCUAAGCACAAAUCAACACAAAGCACAAGGUUCAACUUCAAACUCUACUACUAAUCUAGCAUACCACAUGCUUGAACAUCUAACCCUACCACAAAUUUGCAACCGCAGCAUAGCAAUCAACCAUAUGAGCUCAUAGAUCAGAGCACUAAUCAACCAUGCAUCUACAUCAAAUCCUAGCUGCAGCUCAGAUCUAGCUAGAAGGAACAGAGAGAAAGGGGGAUUGAACUCACAGAGGCCAUGGCUGCAGCUCGAGGACGAGGGGAGAACGGUCGUAGAAGAUCACCGCCGGCCGGUGAAGGACCGCCGAUGCCAUGGACCAUCGCCCGAUAAAGAUGCGCUGCUUACCUGCUCGUCGGUGCUGAUGCGCGUCGGCGGGAAAGCUCGAAGGGAGGAAGAAUGGUGGCGGGAGUUGGGGCGGUGAGGGAGGGGCUAAAUAGAGGCGGACUCGGGGAGGUGAGCCGAAAUCCUCCCGUAGAUUUUUCGGCGACGCGGGCAAGCUCGCGCCAUCUCCCUGGUCGCACGAGGAGAGAAGCACGCCGCCCUCCCCUGCGUCGCCCAAGCCAGGCUCGCGAGCUACUGCCGAUUCGGGCAUUUCCACUGGGCCUGGCCUGGAGGUGCUUUAAGGUUCGUGCCAUGCGGGCCGCACAAUAAACGCAGGCAACCAAUCGGGUCACUUUCUUCCCGCGCGGGCCAGGCUGGGCCAUAUGCAGGCAACCAAACACGCCCUAGUUGACGAGGAUAUGGCGUCUGAGCAUUGCCAACUAGGCAAGGGGUGGGCACACCAUCUCUGGAUGGGCCAAAUCAACCACUCGAGCCAAGGCUCGAACCGGUUGCCCCACCAUCCAGUGGGCCAUGACCAUAGUUUUAAAUAGCCGGCUAUAGCUCCGCUAUAGCCCGCUAUAUAGCCUUUUUAGUAGGGUGCCGCUAAAUGGUUCCAUGUAAAAAUAGCCCGCUAUAGCCUGCUAUAGUCCGCUAUAGCUCCGCUAUAACUGAUUUUGUGGUCCGCCACUAUUUGGCAAUAGCCCGCUAUUUAAAACAUUGGCCAUGACAAACAGAUGUCCAUCGGCAUACGACAUGGCCCGGUCCAAUCCGGUGACACAAGCCCACUUUAUUAGUCUGACCCGAGCCAUGUAACCCUAUCUCGACUAGCUAUAUACAAUGACUGGGACAUUUCUGGAGGGAGGGGGUCUAACACAUUCGAGAGCCGUCAAGUGAUAGGAUUUUGCACCUACCCCUUCUUUCUUAGCAGCCACCGUGGCUAGGAACUUGUAAUCCAAUAAAGACCUCUCUCUAACGAUCUUACCUAUCGACGGUGAGCACUCGAGCAAUACAACCAUCAUAUCAAAAAUUAGGGUGUUACCUAACCAGGGAGGGACCGAACCUGGGUAAAUUGCUUGUCUCCGCUACCACAAUCUCGAUCUGCCACUCUCACCCCAUCCGUAAAAAUUUGUCAUCACUUGAUGGUAUUCCCGGUCUCAGAACACCGACACUAGCCCCAGCCCCCAUCACCCCAUCUUCUCCCUUCUCUCAUCCCCGUCGUUGGGAGAUGCCUCUAGGCAAAGCUGAAGCGACAUUGGCGGUGGUGGCCCUUUUUUCCUCAGAUGAUGCGGAGUCGCGUGGGGCCACUAGGCAUCGACAGAGGUGAGGGUUCAAGCUUGAGAACUAAUUAGUGCGGAGCCGCCACCGAAGCAUGGUGCCAGCUAUCACAGAGGUGCAUGUGUGUCGCAUGGUGCCAAUCACGGAGGUGCGGGUGAGUCGCAUGAUGCCAAUUAUCAUGGAGGCAUGGACACGGGCUGGAUCGACUACACACUAGCAUUGAAUGCUCGGUGGUAUGAUGGUGUGGAUACGGUGGUCAGCUACACGUGGAACCACAAACCUGCAUGUUGACGAGUAUCGACUGUGGCGGUUGGCCAGAUGUGACUCCACCGCGGGUACAUAUCUAGACUCAAGCUGGUCGCGGCGUCCGGACGACAAUAUAGUGGCGUGGUUUGAAAGGUGUUACUGUGGCGCUCAUGGAUACCACCGAUGAGACGGUGGUGCGACAGUGACAGGAAGCGAUACGAUGACAUCUUUUCUUCAUAUGAAAUCUCCUUUAGCUAGCUAGUUUUGUGUGAGAAGAGAUAGAUUAUAUUGUUGGCAAUUGAGAUCGAGGUUGUAUUUCUCUCUUGGUAAGAACCAUGAUUUAGUCUUUUUCUUUGGCCAGAUUAGGCACAAUAGAUACAUGUGCUCACGUUGUAUAUUUAUUGAAUGUGUUGGCUUGAAGUUUUGCUUUGGGGUCUCUUUGUUUUCAGUGCCUUGGAUUUGGUUAACCAGUCGGGUGAGCGAUGAUUCCUUCUUGAAGACAUUGUCUUGGAAUCUUAUGCCAUUUGUUACCUUACAUGCUGCUUGACCAUUGGACUAUAGUCCAUUGUCUUAGGUUUCCGACUUUUCGUAGAAUGUAUGGAUUUUAUCGCUAGUUGGUCUAUUGUCCAUGGUACCCUUUUUGGCCUUUAGGACGGCUUUGAUUAGGACCGUUUUUCUUAACAAAUAAUAAUACUACUAUUUGACAAUGUUUGUGCAUUAAUUGACGCUGAGGCCUUUAUUUGUUUUAAAAUAUAGCUUCAUAUUUCAAAUUUCUAAAACACAAAAGCUGAAAAGGAGCGUGAGACAAACAUGCCGUCCUGGAAGCGAACUAACCUUUGUUGCCAUGUUUUCAUUUAGCCUAUCGAUCUACAUGCACCAGUCGUAGUGGACGGUGGUGGAAGCACGAUCAAGCAUUCUCUCACGUCCUCUGGCGCAAAGACCUAGUACACCAGUGCUUGGUUUGGUUUGGUUUGGUCGAGUCCACCACGAAAUCGGGUCAAGAGCUCGCUAGCCAACUCACCAACCUUCCUUCACGCCGGUCGCCAUAUACCACCGGGUCACACACACACACGCUUUUGUCUAAUUUUCCUUGAACACGUACACCACCAGGUCCGUGCGUCCAGUCCACAACCGUACACAUAUUUAUGAAAAAAGUCCAAAACAAACCUUAAACUUAUAGACGAAAGCUAAAUCAAACCCUGAACUUUCAAUCCCUGAAAUCAGCACAUCGAACUUUUCGAUCCCGGCCUAUUUCGAACCUUGGAGGGUGUUUCACUGGUAUUCGCUGACGUGGCAGGUGAAAUUGGGCCAGCCCAUUAGAGUAGUCACUCAGUUCUGGUUUUAAUUGUUUUUUUGUUUUUUUAUUUUAUUUUCUUCGGCUUUCUUUUUUCCUUCGCUAUAUUUUUGUUUAUUUCCUGAUUUUUUCCGUAUUGUUUGCUUCUUCCUUUCUUUUUGUUUCUUUAUUGGUUUCAACUAAAAAAAUGUACACCUGUCUAUUUUUUCUCAGUACACAGAGUACAUUUUUAAUACACAUAUGAGAAAAAAAAUUGGCACACUAUUGACAUAUUUCAAAUACAUUAUGUAUAUUUUUUAAUUUCAACACUUAUUUGAAUACACAAUGACGUUUUUCCACAUACACGUUCAACAUUUUCUUAAGACAUUUUUUUUUAUAAAACUAUACAAACAUUUUACAUUGUUUAAAAUGUUGCGCCCAUUUUAAAAAUUCAAAAGGUGUUUGGACUUUAAAAUUUUGUUUUUCAAAAAAAAUAUGUUUCAAAAAGUAUUCAAUUUUUCAAAACUGAUUCUGUUUGAAAAAGUUUUUCACCUUUUAAAGAUUAUUGAGAAUUUUUCUCACUCAUCUGUUCAGGUUCCAAUAGUUGGCCCCGUUUUAAAAAAAUCAAAAGUGUUCGGACUCUAAUUGGUUUUUCAGGUUUUGAAAUUUGUUCCCAUUGUUUAAAAUAUGUUUAUGUUUCAAAAAGUGUUCAUUUUUUAAAAUUGAUUCUGUUUUAGAAAAGUUAUUCUUUUUUUAAAAAUAUACAGUGCUUUUUCACACAUCUGUUCAGGUUUCAAAAGUUGCUCCCAUUUUUUAAAUUUUCAAAAAGUGUUCGCACUUUAACAUAUGGUUCAGGUUCAAAAUUGUUUAUUUUCAAACAGUGUACCCUUUUUCAAAAUUGAUUCUGUUUUCAAAAUGAUGUCCUUUUUAAAACAGUAUUCAGAAUUUUUAAAAAGUAGUCGCACUUUAGUUAUUUUCCAGAGAUUUCACAAAUUGUUUACAUUCUCCAUAUUUGUUUGCCCUUAGAAAUGUUUCUUCUAAUCUCGACGUUACAGUCUGUUGUUAAAUAUUUCGGGCGUCUCAAUAUAACAAUGACUGCCAUCUGUUGUAGCGGCUUGCGUGAGCGUUCAGUAGUGCCAGGUCUCAAGUUCGAUCCCUCUGUGUUGUCUAUUUUUGCGUCGUGCGUUAUGAAGAAAGAACUUGCUUUGCACGUGGUGGCCCGGUCCAAUAACAGUUGUCGGUCUUUUUACAUCACGUAUUGUGAAAAAAAAAUAGACCGAAAAAAGGGAAAAUAAAAAGGAAAUCUCGCUUUGCGCCUGUUGGGCCGGCCCAGUCGCGUUCGCAAUGAACAGUCCCGGUAUUAAACCUGCCACAUCCAUAAUCCCUGUUUGGGAACGCACUCAAUGUUCAAAAUAGACCGGGAUCGUCAAGUUUGGUGUGCUCAUUUCAGGAAUGGGAAGUUCAGGGGUCGAUUUAUCUCUCGUCUACAAAUUUAAGAUUUAUUUUGGACUUUCUCCCAUAUUUAUCGAAAUCAAAUCAAAAUUCAGUCGCAAAAUGAAAAUCAACCAGGGAGAACCCGACAACGGGAAGAGUAGCAGGCGAGCGGAUGCACCAGAGAGGAGACGAAAGCGACGUGCUAGGAAAAGAGGAGAGAGGCUGCGCGGAAUUCCGACGCCAACCCCAACCGAGAAUACGGUCUGGUCGCCGGUGCGGUGUGACGAGACGACCGACGUCGACCCGCCCAUGUUUCCACGCCGCGAAGCUCCCCCGAAACCCGCUGAAAACCACCCGCGCGCGCGCACGACAAUUCCAUCACUCUCACGAGGCACGAACCGGCGACCGCUCGGUCGGUCCGGCGUUUCCACCACGCCUCCCUGCUUCCGGGAACCUUCCUCGCUCCCGGCUUUCUUCCCGAGUCCCGGCCGUCGUCCCCCUUCCAACUUCUUUCCCGCCUUCUCGCGAGUCUACCAGAGACCCGGCUAUAUAUGCCAAACCUUGGUGCUCUGCAAAUAGCAUCCAGCACGCAGCGACCAGCGAGAAUUCUCAUCUCAGAGGCAAGCAAGAAGCACCAAGGCAACAAGAGCAGAGGAAGCAGACAGAGAAAGGCACAGACAGAGGACAUAGACAUGGACAUGGCAGCAUCUUCCUCGGCGCCGGGCGCGUCCUACUUCAUCUUCAACUUCUCCGUGGCGCCGGCCGUGGUGGUCAUCUCCAUCAACGUCAUCCUCGUCUGGCUCUCCGCCCUCGUCAAGUCCUCCUCCUCAUCCUCUUCUUCGUCCUCCACCAGCCGCCGCUCGGCCGCCCCCGCUCCGGAGCAGGAGCCAGCGCAGCCAGCGCCGGCAAGUGGCGCCUCCGAGGUCGACCUGGACGUGGUUCUCGGGGUGAUGGGCGCGGGCAGCGCUGCCUCGAUCGGGUUCGAGGAGGCGGCCAUCCUGUUCGAGGAUGACGAGGCCACCGUGGAGGAGGCCGCGGCGGCGUUCCGCGUCUUCGACCGCAACGGCGACGGGUUCGUUGACGCCGGAGAGCUCCGGAGCGUGCUGAGAUCGCUCGGGUUCACCGCCGGCGUCGCGGCCGCGGAAUGCCAGCGCAUGAUCGACGCCUAUGACGAGAACAAGGACAGCCGGAUGGACUUCCAGGAGUUCCUCAACUUCAUGGAGAGGAGCAGCUCGUGAAGUGGCCGCCGGCGUCCGACGACCGAUGAUUUGCUCGAUUCAUUUGUUCGUUCGUUCUGCUUACUUGUCCUUUUUCCGGCCCGAAUGGAGCCGAAUGGUGCACCGUAUGUAUUUACUCCGAUUCUUUACACAAUACAUAUGCUUUUUAGAGCAUCUCCAACAGACCCCGAACGCGGCGCGCGCAAAAAACAGCUUUAGCGCGUGCCCAUCGCCUGGUUUGGCGCGGCGCACUGCGCCCGCUCUAGCAGCCGCGCUAAAAUGCUGCUGUGCGCGCGCUGCUCCAGCAGCGCGCAAAAAAUGCAGCGCGUGCGCUCGUUCUACAAACUAGAAAUGUAGGCAUUGAAAGCAGAAAUUUUAAAAAAACUAGAUAGAUUGCAUAGAUUUUAACGAUACAAAGGUAUUUUACAUCCGAAACAUAGAUUGCAUAAAUAAAAAUGACAAACGAUAAAAAAUAUAAAUUGCAUUAAAAAAACUACUCUAAGUCGCUAUCAUCAUCACCACUAUCAUCCUCGGCAGUGUCGUCCGAGGUAGUUAGCCAGAUGUCCAGCCACCGCUCAUCGUUCGACGUGAAGAACGACUGCCCACCUGCUGCAACGAGGUCGGAAUGCGCAUUCGCCAACGCCUUCCGCUGACGCUUGUACAACCGCGUCGCGCGGCGCCUUCGUGUGUCCUACUCGCGGCGCCUUGCCCAGUAGGCCUGCUCGUAGGCGACGUCCUCCGGGUGGCGCUGGCGCCACUCCGCCGUGACCCGCUCGUCCUCCUGGGCGAUGAGGAGGCGGCGUUGCCGCUCGGCGUGCUCCGCACGGUCUUCCGUCGUGUUCAGACGAGACAGAGGGACGAAGUUGAGCGCUUGCUGGAGCGUGUACACAUCUUGGAAGUUUAUCUGGCCGCGCGGCCGGCCUAGGCGCCACGCCGCCGCGUCGUACGCGCGGGCAGCCUCGCGCGCCGUCCCGUACGUGUCGAGGCCGAGCCGGAGUUCACCGGAGCGUAUCUCCGCGGAGUAGUUGCCGUUGGGGCGCAGACGGACGCCGCGGUAGCCGGACGCUCCUCGGCGGCGCGUCGGUGGCGGGGCGCUGGAGCGGCGCGUGGCAGAGAGGGAGAGGAAGAGGAGAAUAGGAAGCGUGGAGAAGGCGCAUGGCGCGCGCAACACUUUUAUAGACGCGCGCGAAGCGGCGCGUUAAAUCUUGCGCGUGAGCUGGCGCCUUUUCGCGCGCGCGCAAACGGUUCCCGCGGGCGCUUGUUUCCCCGCUGGAGCGUGGCAAACCGCCCCACGCGCGCGCAUCGUUUGGGGCGGCCAUUGAAGAUGCUCUUAGGCAUUGUAUGAUGGGACCAUGUAUUAGCCAUGGAGCUAAAGAAUAUUUUCACCAAAUCAGUUUUCUUUGACGAAUCAUAUCUCGGCAUGGUUCUACCACUGCAUUCAACUUUUGCAUUACAUCAACUUUAAUGACACGGCCCUCGCAAAAGAAAAAAAAACUUUAAUGACACAGAGGCCGGGCCGCUUCGUCAUUUCAGCAACUAAUUUCUUGACCCAUGCCAUAUGUUCUCAUCGUACUAUCACGAUGUGAAUAAUUGUUGCUUGUAACAUGAAUAUGUCAACAGUCAACUGCAAAUAAUGUAUCACCACAUACCAUGGACGCUAUCUAGUAGUACAUGGCUAGAAGCCUAGAACCAUCAUGUUCAAUUCUGUUUUGGCUCGCAUGUUUAAUUCUAUUUUGAAUGUGGAUAGGCCUUAGUCGAUUAAGAUUUAAUUAAGUCUUAGUUAAAUGACAUAAUAACAUAUAUGAAAAGAUAAAUUAAAAACCUUUUGCACGAAUCUUCACACAAGAUCGAACGAAUAUAGCAUCGACAGAGACAUAACCAAGUCUCAGUCGACUGAGACUUAGCAAAACUAUUCUGUUUUGGCUCGCUUGUUGUCUUUUGACAUGUCUAUGUUCGUGAUGAAUAACUCUUGUGGAAAAAGGGGAUAAACAUAGAAGAAAAUUUACGUGGAAUAAGAAUCACAUGGUUCGAUGCACGAGGGUGUGUAUAGAUUCUCGUGGCAGUAUUGGCACAGGAUUCCUUUAUCAUGCCUCAGAAUUUUAUUUUAAAAAUCGGACCCGAUUGCAAAUUUCCUGGCAGAAGUCCGCCCGUCAGACGGAGGAGCCGAAAUGGAUGGGCCAAUUUUGAACGCAGUAGGCCCACUUCCACCUCGUAGCCGGGCUCAGUCAGGUCAGUCCAUUGCUGUGGCCUUGUAGGAUUCCCUUCCGCCUGGUCUUCGCACCUGAGACGGGGGAGAUGCGGAGGCCGUCGGCUUCGUCGCCUCCGGCGAGGGGCCCGGCGUUGGCCGCCGCAGCCGCUGUCGUGCUCCUCCCGGCUAUUUUCCCCGCGCUGUUCUCCCCGCUCGGCCGCGCCUUCCCUUCCCUAUUCUCGGUGCGCCCCCUAUAGUCCCAUCCUCCUCUCCAGGCGGUUCGAUUUGAGCCGGUGUAGCGUCGUAUUGGCGAUCUUCUGCUUUUCUAGCUGCUUCCUACGCCCCUCCUUGCUAGUUUGCCACUUUGGCGAGUCCGAUUAUUUGGGGUGCGCGAAAAUUGGAUAUAAUCUAGACGGAUUGGUACUGUUGGGGGAGGAAUGUAUGUGGAAGGUGAAAUGAUGUGGUGAAUUCAUGACUCCCUUUCCUGUUGAAUUGGAAGUGCGAAAUUACAUUUGUUUAUUUGGCGUAUGUAUGGCGAUGCAGAGUUACCUGUAAAUAAGCAAAGUGUGCAACCUGUAAAUAAGCAAAGUGUGCAAGAUCUGGAUUCUUUUGGUGGAUAGCAUCAUGCCAGUUGCAUAGAAUAUUUUGGUUUGGACAGUGGUCUACAAUAUGUGAUUACUAGAUUUUAUAUGCAAUUUGUGGCAGUGUGGGACUGUACUCAGCUACCAUGAGUCCAUGACAGUAUUGGGAAUAACAUAUGUACUGGAUUAGUACUAUGGCUAUGAAGAUAGAUUGGCAACUCAAGUGGACCUUAGUAAAUAUUUCUGCAAACUGCAAUAUUAUAUUUUUAAGAUUAAUCAUGUGGACAAUGUGUAUGACUGUGUAUUGCAGGAGUGGAAUGCCCCUAAGCCAAUGCACGAGUCUCUUUUGAAUGAGUCUUUGCGAUGGACAAUAGUGAGUAUUCAUAACUCAGAUAAAAACUGGAAAUAGAUAUGUUGAAGUAUAUUUAUAACUUGCUUUCUGUACAGCCAGAUGAACAAAAGAGAGAUCUCUGGACACCCUUGCCUGAUCAGGGGUGGAAACCAUGCAUAAGACCAUCGAUUACUCGUGGUAACACUCUGAGAUAACAUUGUUAUGUAAUGAUAUGCCUCCAGCUGCGACAGAUCACUAAGCAUUUGGUUAUAUAAAGUGUAGGAUUACCUUCCGAACCUAGUGGGUACAUACAAGUAUUUCUUGAUGGUGGCCUGAACCAGCAAAGAAUGGGGGUAACACACUUUUCAUGUACCAGAUUCAUGAUGUUAGAUUUAAGACAACUGCUUGGUUGAGAUUUUAGAUCAUCUGGCUCUUACUUUUUGUUCUCUAGAUAUGUGACGCUGUUGCGGUUGCUAAGAUUCUGAAUGCUACUCUUGUGAUCCCACAUCUUGAAGUAAACCCUGUUUGGAAAGACUCAAGGUGCUUUUGAAGUUUCAGAGUACUACUGUAUCUUGUUAGUUUUUAUAUUCUCCUGUUAAAUUGGAAGUGAAAGUUUUAGUUGUGCUGCAGCUCAUUCGGAGAUAUUUUCAAUGUGGAUCACUUUAUCAACACCCUAAAAGGCGAGGUUUCAAUAGUGAGAACUCCACCAAAAGAAUAUUCGUGGAGCACAAGAGAGUUCUAUGGCACAGGAAUACGUGCUACAAGAAUAAAAACUGCACCUGUUCACGCCUCAGCUGAUUGGUAUAUAGAGAAUGUCAGUCCUAUCCUGCAAAGGUUUGUGAUUUCUUUGGUCAUAUAGUCACUUCUCUAGACCCCUUGAGUAAGUGAAGAUCUGCAGUACCCUUUGUACUGACACAUGUUGCAAAACUAAACUACUACUCUCUCCAUUCACAAAUAUAAGAUGUUCUAACUUUUUUCUGAAUCAGACGUAUGUACACACGUUUUAGUGUGUUUGUUUACUCAUUGCAGUCCGUAUGUAGUCCAUAUUUAAAUAUCCAAAAAAUCUUGUAUUUGUGAACAGUGGGAGCAUUUGACAUAUAUUGCGUGGCAUAAUAAUGCUAAGAAACUGCAGUUCAUGUUUAGCCCAGGUUGAUGACCACUGAACAGGCUUUAUCGCAUUAGCAUUAUAGUUUGUGGUCUAACUUCAAUAGUUGGUUACUUUGUGAGGGGAAUCCUUCACCGAGAAUCUCAUGUACGUGUUGCUUCCCUUGUCAGCUAUGGCAUUGCAGCCAUUGCCCCCUUUUCUCACCGCCUUGCAUUUGAUGAUUUGCCUGUGGACAUUCAACGUCUGCGCUGUAAAGUUAACUUUGAAGCCCUGGUUUUUGUGCCUUACAUUAUCUCACUGGGGAGGACCCUUGAGAAGCGCUUGAGAUCUCCAGUCCAGGGGCAUUCCACUGAAUUUGCUCAACAAGUUGUAGAAGAAAACACAGAUCAGGAUGGGAAGUACGCAGUUUUACAUCUCCGCUUCGAUAAGGUAAAUGGAAGGGCUUCUGCAAUAUUUGGAAGUCAUAUGUUUAAUUUUUUGUUCUCUUCAGGGAAUUGCCACUCUGAAACAUUUCAAGCUGACCUACAUUUUUCAGGACAUGGCUGCACAUUCUGCCUGUGACUUUGGCGGUGGUAGAGCUGAAAAAUUAGCUCUGGCUAAGUACAGGCAAGUUAUCUGGCAAGGGAGGGUAUUAAAUUCACAGUUAAGUGAUGAGGAGCUUCGAAACACAGGACGCUGCCCGUUGACUCCAGAAGAGAUUGGGUUGAUACUAGUAGCGCUUGGCUUUGACAGCACAACUCGAUUUUAUCUUGCCUCUCACAAGGUUUGACUCUCUGUGCGCUUACUUAUUCUCCAUAGUGGAAGUAGAAAGUUCUAACAUACAUCACCUAUUAAGGUAUAUGGAGGGGAAGCUAGGAUCUCUAGCCUGCGCAAACUUUUCCCGCUGAUGGAAGACAAGAGGAGCCUUGCAUUGGCAGAUGAACUUGCUAAUGUUGAAGGGAAGGCUUCUGUGCUAGCAGCUCUUGACUACCAUAUCAGCAUGCACAGCGAUGUUUUCAUCUCUGCUUCUCCUGGCAAUAUGCAUAAUGCACUGGUAAAUCCUGUUGUCUUUUGCUGUAUUCGCGAGAUUUCUCCUCUUUCUUUAUUGGUCCUGACUAGAUGAUGGUUGAUUCAGCUGGCCCACCGGGCCUACAGGAAUUUGAAGACGAUAAGGCCAAACAUGACAUUGCUUGGCCACAUAUUUGUGAACAAGAGCAUGGAGUGGUCAGAGUUUCAGCAGGCUGUACAGGCAGGCCACAAAGGUAGAUACGGGCAGAUCCGGCUGAGGAAGCCGAAGCAGUCUAUCUACACUUAUCCUGCCCCAGAUUGUAUGUGCCAAGGGUAGAUUGCCAAGUUUCUGCAGUGCACCAACAAAAGAAAUGUGCUGAGUUACUUGCAGCUACUAAUUAGGAAAAGCUCAUGUGGAUACAUAUGUUAGUUCUGAAUUUCCAGUUGAAUCAGUUGGCUGCCUCUUCCAAUAGGAUCUUAAAUUUUAACCUAAAUUUACCCGUCCUGUCAUUGGCCCUUGAAGGACACUAAUCUUGUGCCGAUGCACAUUCCACACGACGAAGUUAUAGUUUUGUGACCGAUGUUGUAUAUCUGUGACUUGAUAUACUGGAUCCUUUUCUUUUUCUUCUUCUUUGAUUCCGCUGUUCUACAUCUGCGAGUCCGGUGUUUUAUGAAAUUAUGCUCUCAUUUACUAUUAUUACUACCAUCACAUCGAGUUCAGCACUAGUGCUUCAAACUAUAUUUUGCCAUGUUUAAAAUAACACGGGUGAUAUCACAGUGAGUUCGAGACUAAUGCUUCAAACUAGUAGUAUGUUUUGCCAUGUUUAAAAUAACACGCAUGGGUGAUAUUACAAGUACAGCCUCCAUUAGAAGCCAUGGGCGAAUCCACAAGAACAAAGUUUCACCACCGGAGCUUUAAGAUUACAACACAUUUUUGCACUGUCCACCUACUCCUCCACACUUUGUACAUCCUCAGCACCCCAAAAUAACAAUUCAGACCGCCUGAAACCUCCCCGGUCGGUGAAAUCGACGGAUUUAUUGGCCGGAGAUGGUCUGGAUGAUGGUGUUGUGCCAUGGGUCGGCCAGGUGCUGCUGCAGGUUCUCGAACGGCCCCUUCCCGGUCACGUUGUGCUGCACCAGGAACCCCAGGAACGCCAGCAUCGCCAGUCUCCCUGAACGAAUGGAAAAACAUCCAAAGAUUAACAGGAGCCGUCCGAUUAGAAAUUAACGACGGUGAAGCAAGCAGAGGAGCGAUGGACGUACCGUUGGCGAGCUCCUUCUCCUUGUUCUCGAGGGUGGGGGCGAAGUUGAGGGGGUUGAAGACGCUGCCGGGGUAGCCGCACUCGUGGGGCGGGAGGCUGUAGCUCUUGAAGAUGGGGUCCUGGUUGACGGAGCCCGGGUUCUUGAUGUCCUGCCACCGCCGGAUCUCCACGUAGUGGAAGAGGAUGAACUCGAUGACGAAGAGCGUGGAGGAGGAGGCGAAGUAG